Molecule: long non-coding RNA, 65955 nt
Filed under: Triticum aestivum (bread wheat)
Lineage: Eukaryota; Viridiplantae; Streptophyta; Magnoliopsida; Poales; Poaceae
Description: long non-coding RNA (TAES_LNC008074)
Source: RNAcentral
CCACAUCGUGCUCAAGACAUCGCCGGCAAGCACCGGGCUCACGCUCGCCACCCGCGCCGACAACCUCUACUGGGAGGGCUUCAAGAGCAGCGACGGCACCUGGUGGGAGCUCACCCCCGGACUCAUCCCCGGCGCCACCCACGUUGGGUUCGGCGGCACGUAUCGCGACCUCCUCGGCGACACCGACAAGCUGACCAACGUCGCUCUCGGCCGGCAGCAGAUGGCGGACGCGGUGACCGCGCUCUACGGGCGCACCAAGGCCGACAAGACCUCCGGCCCGAAGCAGCAGCAGGCGAGGGAGGCGGUGACGACGCUGCUCCUCAUGGUGCACGAGGCCACGCGGUUCCAGACCGUGUCGGGGUUCGUGGCUGGAGUGCUGCACCCCAAGGAGAAGAAGAGCGGGAAGAUCGGCAAUGAGAUGAAGGCCCAGGUGAACGGAUGGCAGGACCUGUCCGAAGCGCUGCUGAAGACGGACGCGAAGCCCCCGCCGGGAAAGGCGCCAGCGAAGUUCACGCCGAUCGAGAAGAUGGGCGUGAGGACGGCGGAGCAGGCGGCCGCCACCCUGGGGAUCCUGCUGUUCGUCCAGGUGCCCGGUGGGAUGACGGUGGCCCAGGCGCUGGAGCUGUUUCAUAAGAGUGGGGGGAAAUAGGUAGUAGUUGUGCAGGUAUAUCUGCAUGGGUAUUGUACAAGUCGAAUAAACAUGUCACAGAGUGACUGAAUGAUAUAAAUAAAUAAAUGUCACAGAGUCAGUGAAUGAUAUGAAUAAAUAAACAUGUCUAGUUUAUAUUGGGCCCAACCAUAGAAUUGCUAUCCAACAUAUGUUUUGCAUAUGCACAUAUUAGAAGCGCGAACUAUGUUCAUCCUUUUAGACUCCCAGGGGCUCAUUUGGUUGUUGGGGUGAAAAAACCAUGGGCAGUAAACUCCCCUAGGGGAUUUCCCUGCUCAUAUGAGAUCCUCCUCCUGCCAUGUGAAAUAUCCCAUUGCCAUUUGGGCACCAAGGGAGAGUGAAGAGAGUGAAGGGAGAAGAGCAGAAGAACAGAGCGCCAAGGCGACUCAGAUCACAAGAAAAGAGACAAGGGGAGCCCAGGAGAAUUCUCCUGGAGUGCGGAGGUCGGAGCGAGCGGCCCGGGGAUUUCGGGAGGAUCGGGCCGAGAAAGCCCGUUCCACGAUGUUACCAAAUGGAUCGCCUGAAAAUCCAGGGUGUAGAUUGCAGGCGGGUUUCUCGCCUGAGGAAAGGACAGGUAUCCUGGCAGCAAUGCUACAUUCACGGACUAAUACGGGGGGUUUACGAAGUGUUUGUGACUUGUUAGAUGUUGAUUGGAUUAAGGGGGAGGAAGAGGCCCCACCCACCUGAAAAUCAGGAGGGUGAAAAAGAAUUAGAAGGAAGGGUCCGUAAUGCCCCCGUAAUGAGUCCGUGCGUUUAGCAUUUUUGGUAUCCCGGGGGAUCCAUGGUAACCAACUAGUGUACCACAAAUUCCCCUCCAGAAAAUCUACAUAUUUUAGUACUUUUUGGCCAGAAAAUUCUCACACUUACAUACACGGUUAUAUUGUUUUUCUUUAUUUAAAAGGGAGGAAAGCCCCACAUAAUGAUGCAUGCAGCCAAUUUAUUAACCAAAAGUAUGCAAACGGAGUCUAAGGGCCAGUACUGGCUCACAAAAGGAGCACAAGAACAGUAAAGAUAAAAAGAUGCCACAGCCGGCGAAAAAACAAGUUAAGAUGACUAAACACCUAGCCUAUUAUUAGUUCGCCAUUUAAAUUGGUUGGAGAUAACCCGUGCUACCGUCUCCCAAUGGUUGCACCCAGUAACCAAAAGCCCCCUAGAGUCCGCAUGAGUGAGUAACGACCACGUACGGAUCCAAGCAGUGGCUAUGUGGAUAACCUGCAAAAGUUGAUAAAGUUUUUUCCAUUAAAGAUCAUAUCACCUUUGCAGUUUCAUAUAGCCCAAAACAGUCCACAUAUCCCUAUCCGAAUAUGUCCUGCAAUAUUUGAAUCCGCUCCAUUUAGCCAUGUCCCAAAUAACGUGUUACUAUUUGAAGGAUUAAUGUUGAAGUCUAUAUGUAUCGUACGCCAUACAAGUUUGGCUUAUAUUGUGCCAUUUCAAUAUUUUAUUUGUCGAUUUUAUGUUUAUAUACAGUUGGUAUUCAUUGAAUAGGUGGAUUUCCUGGGAGAGAAGGUGCAAAGCUUCAAGGCCAGACCCCACAAGGAGUUGAUGACUCAGUAUAGCAACCCUGAUGAGACUGGGACAGUACCCCGCCGGAGACAGGGACAACGCGGUUGUUCUAGUGCCACUGGUUCCUGCGAGGGCGAGGGUUCACAUGUUUGGGGUGCUUUUUUACAAUCCACAUGUUUGGAGGUGUUAAGGGCAUCUCCAACCACGACCCAUAAAUUUUCUCCUGCAUUCGUCUGGGACAGGGGGAAGGGGCAGUCCGUGGACAUGGAUGCAGGAGGGGGCCAUCCAACGCUGCCCGAAGACAUUUCAACCCGCAUUUCAACUAGCUGGACGAAAUUCAUGUACACCGGCUCCAGGGUGGACAGCGUUGUCAUAAAGGCCAGUGGGCGUGUCGGUGCUGGUUGCGGACGUCCGGCAAUGCCACUGUGGUGGCCCUAGACGUACAACGGCAGCAGCAGAGGUGGAGCGUGCAGAUGCAAAGCAAGGGGGAGAAGGGCGCGGAGUGGAAGGAAAUGAAACCGAGAGGGUGAUUGGGUGGGCCGGGGGUGUCGGUUUCCUACAUGGCUGCUGCUGGUUUGAACUUUUUUUAUUAACUUGAACAAAAAUAUCUGUAUUUCGAAAAAUGUUGACGAAUUUGAAAAAUGUGUCUGGAUUUUAGAAACUGUUCAUUAAUUUGAAAAAAGUGAUCACAAGUUUGAAAAAAUGUUUCCUCAUUUUUGAAAAUGUUCCUGAAUUUCACAAAAUGUCCCUGCAUUUUAGAGAAUGUUCAAAAAAUUAAAAUAUGGGGCAUAUUCCUUUUAUGCUUUUACUCCUACAUUUUAUACGAAAUUGUAAAAAAUGUUAAAAAAUAGAGAAAAGAAAAAAGGAAAGAAAAAUAAAAUGGGAAGCUUAUAGAAAAAACAUAAAAGGAAAAAAAGGGUCUAUGAAGGUUCUAGUACUUUUCUAUAAACGGGGAACACACUAAAAACCUCGAACUGGGCUGGCACAAUAUAGUGCCUACAAUUGCGUGAGGGUGUGGCUUUGCUCGCUAACUGUUGACCUAUGCUGGGAUUCAGAAUUAUCGUCUUUAUCUUGCCUCUAGUGAGAUUUUUUUUCUUGAGAAUUCUCGCCCAACUUUAUUGGUGAAUCAAAAUGUUCUAGUGAGAUGGAAGAAAAACUCGUCACAAGGGAGUUCAUGGCGGCCGGCCAGUCCGGAGUUGUUGGUUUGGUUCAUUCAUUCCUUUUAUUCAUUUGGUUUCGUCUUUUUACUUUUACUUUUUUUCCUUACUUAUUUUUAUUUAUUUUUGAAAAUAUUUGACUUAAUUUCAAAAAAAUCACUGUGCAUUACAAGUUAUGGAGGUGAUGUGGAAGGUACUCGACCAAUUCAUCGCCUGAAGAUGAAGGAACUCAAGUGCAAUACAGCCGCGGAGCAGGCGUUCCAUGUCAUCCUUUGGGAUGCGGACGGCAAUGAGUUCGAGGUGCUUCAGUCGUGGUAGAAAAAGAGCGGGCGCGUCAUUAAGGGGAUGGCAGUUGAUGAACUUGGCGAGGCGCAGCAUGGGUGCGAAGCGGAGCACGGAUGUUGGCAGCGAGUGCAUAUGCCCAUUAUUAAAAAUGAGCUUCUCGAGCUGAUCUAUGGCGGGGGAUCGUAAUCACUCGUCAAGCUUGGCUCGGUCCUUUCCAUUGGAACGGAACUUGCCCGUGAUAAGGUCCCUGAUUGGGCCAUGGUGACUGCCGAGGAUCGAGGAGAAUGCAUCCAAGCUUUUGCGAUAGCCAUGGCAGAGCUCAUCAGCGUCGAGGUGGUCGACAGGGGUGAGGAGCCUUAGGGGCGCCACCAACAGGAAAGGGCGGCUGUCCUUGCCCCAUAUUUGAUUGGGGGGAGGAAUAUGAUGACUCUCAACAUAUCAUCGGGGAUGUUUUUGAUGAAGUCUAGGUCUACUGGAGUCGCUUGCGGUUCUUUCUCGACCCGCCUCCGCUUGUUGGCAGCCUCGUUCUCCACCUCGGCGGCGGCGACGGAAACCUCUAUCUCCAUAUUCACGCCAUGCUCCGGUGCACAUUGAGGACUGAGAGCGGCGUCGAGGAUGGGGUUGGAGAGAGAGGAUUGUGUGUGUGGCAAGGAUGGGGGGUGCGGCCGCUCGGGCGCGCCAUUAAUACAGACCAGUGGGAGCGAGCCGGGUGGCGGUCAAAGGUUGUCUCGCUUCCUGAUGAGCCUGCGCGGCGGACUUCUAGCAUUUCUAUACCAUCAUUUCACAGAGCGAGGCGGACGCGCCGUUAAUAUGGAGGAGUGGGAUCAAGGUGGGCGGCGGUCAAAGGGCUGGCUCGCCUCCCAGUGAGCCUGCGUGGCGAACUACUGGCACGCCUACCGUCGUUUCACACAACUACUAGCACGCCCCAUACGGUGAGUGCGUACGAAACACGCGCAUGAAUUAGAUAGUGGUAGUGAUUUUAGUUGCAAAAAUUAGAUAGUGCUAGUGAUUGUUAGCUGCAUAUUUUGACAAAUCGCAUUGUCUCUUGGCUUAGCGCCGAAGUCUGGCUUUAAUUUGCAUACCGUAUUCAAUCUGAACCGUUUGCGUUGAAGAGAUGCACAAAUCCUGUGUUAAACAGCUCGCACGCUUCCCGGUGAGCCUCUCGGUCAGCCUACGCACCGGACUGCACUCGCACGCCUCCCGUUCAGUCAAGCAGCUGUCCGCACGGCACCUCCUGUAGCCAUUAAAACCAAGACACGUGGCAUCAUGUAAAUGCUUAAGAGAACGCACACGAUUUGAAUUAUACAAACGUUUGAGAUAUUAAAGUGGCAGCUAUUUGUUUCAAAAUGCCUUUGUUGGCUGUUAUUCGAGUGCAUCUUCUCUCAAAAUGGACACCAAAAACAGCACAGCAUGUCAGUGCCAUUACAUGAUAGUAUGCCAAGUUCCAUGAAUUUCAGACGAGUUUUGGAUUUAGUAGAAUUUAGAAACAAAGUAUCUCAAUGUUUUGCCGGCAAUCAACGGUGCCCUGGUGUUUGAAAUUCAUUCCCAUUUCUUGCAUGAGACCUAAGCAUGCACCCAAGGACACAGAUUUGAUUUUUCAACCAAUUUAUAUGCAUUGAAGCAUGUGCAUGUAGUUCAAACUUGAAUUAUGCACAUAAAUGCAUCGAACACUCAACUAAUGCAUAAAAAUGUCCAAACGAACCCCGAAAAUCCCAAAAAUUGACACAACACUCCUGUUGUUCUCUGUUGAGACUAGAAAAUUUUUGAAAGCAAUAAGAGGCAGCAGAUAUUGUUUUGUCCCCUAAGGUGGGACGUUCCCUACCGAAACCAUCAGGCUUGUUGUGAGAAGCUUUGGUUUGUGAGAAGUUUAUACCCAAACCUGCCCCAAAUGGGACAAAAAAAUUACCACGGCAUGUUGAUGGCGCUCCAUGAUAGCAUGCCAAGUUUCAUGAGUUUCAUAUGAGUUUUGGAUUUACUAGAAUUUAAAAACAAGGAAUCUCAAUGUCUGCAGCCGAGUGACGGUGGCAGGGUGUUUGACAUUCGUUCCCAUUUCCUGCAUGGGACCUAAGCAUGCAACCAAGGACACAUAUUUGAAUUUUCAACCAAUUUAUAUGCAUUAGAGCAUGUGCCUAUAGUUCAAAUUUGAAUUAUGCACAUGAAUGCAUAGAAAACUCAGUUAAUGCAUAAAAAUGUCCAAACAAACCCCGAAAAUCCCAAGAAUUGACACAACACUCGUGUUGUUCUAUGUUGACACUAGAAAUUUUUUGAAAGCAAUAAGAGGCAGCGGAUACCGUUUCAUCCCCAAAGGUGGGAUGUUCCCUACCUAAACCAUCAGGCUUGUUGUGAGAAGCUUUGAUUUGUGAGAAGCAUAUCUCCAAACCGGCCCCAAAUGGGACAAAAAUAUUACCACGGUAUGUUGUUGCCGCUCCAUGAUAGCAUGCCAAGUUUCAUGAAUUUCAGACGAGUUUUGCAUUUACUAGAAUCUAAAAACUAGGUAUCUCAAAGUUUGCGGCCGAGUGACGGUGGCAGGGUGUUUGAUAUUCAUUUCCAUUUCCUGCAUGGGACCUAAUUAAGCAUGCAACCAAGGACAUAAAUUUGGAUUUUCAACCAAUUUAUAUGCAUUAGAGCAUGUGUGUGUAGUUCACAUUUGAAAUAUGCACAUGAAUACAUAGAAUCAGUUAAUGUAUAAAAAUGUCCAAGCGAGCACCCAAAAAUCCCAAAAAUUCACACAAACACUCCUGUUGUUCUAUGUUGACACUAGGAAAAAAAGUUGAAAUCAAGAAGAGGCAAUGGAUUUCAUUUUGUCCAGAAAGGUGAAACAUUCCCUACCAAAACCAUCGGGCUUGUUGUGAGAAGCUCUGGUUUGUGAGAAGCAUAUCCCCAAACCUGCCCCAAAUGGGAUAAAAAAAUUACCACGACAUGUUGAUACCGCUCCAUGACAGCAUGCCAAGUUUCAUGAAUUUUAGACGAGCUUUGGAUUCACUAGAAUUUAAAAACCAGGUAUCUCAAUGUUUGCGGCUGACUGACGGUGGCAGGGUGUUUGACAUUUGUUCCCAUUUCUUGCAUGGGACCUAAUAAGCAUGCAACCAAGGACACAGAUUUGAAUUUCCAACUAAUUUAUAUGCAUUAGAGCAUGUGCAUGUAGUUCAAAUUUGAAUUAUGCACAUGGAUGCAUAGAAAAUUCAGUUAAUGUAUAAAAAUGUCCAAGCGAACCCCCAAAAAUCCCAAAAAUUGACACAACACUCCUGUUGUUCUAUGUUGACAAUAGGAAAAAAAAUGAAAUCGAGAAGAGACAAUGAAUAUCGUUUCAUCCAUAAAGGUGAAACGUUCCCUACCGAAACCAUCGGGCUUGUUGUGAGAAGCUCUGGUUUAUGAGAAGCAUAUCCCCAAACCUGCCCCAAAUGGGACAAAAAAUUUACCACGGCAUGUUGAUGCCGCUCCAUUACAGCAUGCCAAGUUUCAUGGAUUUCAGACGAACUUUGGAUUUACUAGAAUUUAAAAACCAGGUAUCUUAAUAUUUGCGUCCGAGUGACGGUGGUAGGGUGUUUGACAUUCGUUCCCAUUUCUUGCAUGGGACCUAAUAAGCAUGCAACCAAGGACACAUAUUUGAAUUUUCAACUAAUUUAUAUGCAUUAGAGCAUGUGCAUGUAGUUCAGAUUUGAAUUAUGCACAUGAAUGCAUAGAAAACUCAGUUAAUGUAUAAAAAUGUCCAAGCGAACACCGAAAAAUCCCAAAAAUUGACAAAACACUCCUGUUGUUCUAUGUUGACACUAAAAAAAACUUGAAAUCGAGAAGAUGCAACGGAUAUCAUUUCGUCCAGAAAGGUGAAACGUUCCCUACCGAAACCAUCAUACUUUUUGUGAGAGAAGCUAUGGUUUGCGAGAAGCUUAUAGCAUAACCUGGCCUAAAUGGGACAAUAUUUUUUUACCCCAGCAUCUUGAUGUUGUUCCAUGAUAGCAUGCCAAGGUUCAUGAAUUUCAGACGAGUUUUCUAUUUACUAGAAUUACAAAAGCAAGCACCUCAACAUUUGCCGGAGACCCACGGUGUCGUGGUGUUUGAAAUUCAUCCCCAUUUCUUGAAUGGGACGUAAGCAUCAACCCAAGGAAACAUAUAUCAUUUUACAACCCAUUUUGGUGCACCGGAGCAUGUGCAUGUGGUUUCAUUUUGAAUUGUGCACCUGAAAUGCCUAGAAAACCAAGUUACCGUAUAAAAAUGUCCAAACGAACCCUGAAUAAUUCCAAAUUUUUUGACGACGCACCUAUAGUUGCAUGUUCACUAUAGAUAGAAGUUCUCGCAAAUCAAACACCAUCUUUUGGAGCUGUGACCCCAUUAUGUAAUUUAAAUCAAGAUGAAAAAUCAAGUAGAUCUCACACAGUUUAUUAUCACCAACUGUGUGAGAUGCAGUACAAAAUAUCCUGGAGCACCGUCGGUGUAUAGUACACCUAUGGCUUACUCGAGAAGGUUCGUUGGCUACAGUCCACAGCCCGCUCUGAAUAAGGGACCAUGUCUGAUGACACUUUGCGUGCCAGUUUUUUCGCUGAAGCGAUUCCAAAUUUUUGGCUUCCUCGAGAAGGUUCAUUGGCUACAGUCCACAGCCCGCUCUGAAUAAAGGGCCAUGUCUGAUGACACUUUGCGCGCCAGUUUUUUCGCUGAAGCGAUUCCAAAUUUUCGGCUUCCGCGGAAAUAUCUACCUCCCCACCCCCUCCACCUUACCAAAAGCCAUAUUUCCCCUGUUUCCUCCUUCCUUUCGAAGUUGAAACCUUCACUCCUUGGUUGCAGCGCCGCCUCCUCGCCGGCGACCCUCCUUCAUGCUGCUCGGCCUCGCCUAUCCAGGCAGGUAAUCCAGACCCGAACCCCAUCCACCUCCUCCUUCCACAUCCCACAUGCCUCGACCGUCGGCGCGAGCGCGACACCUUCCACCAAAAUCACCGAUCCCUCCACCAAAUAAGUGUCGUCCUAAGCCAUGGUGUAUGCAGUAUAGCCAGCAUCUCAAGGAGCAUUUGGCAGCGGACAAGCAAAUCACGACCGCACGCGCGGAUGAGGUCGUGAUGGCUGCCAUUCGUGCCAACCCCCAGAUCUUGGAGGAGCACCUCGUCGUCGAGGCCACCAUCAACGCCUCACACACCGACGUCGUGGCGCGGCUAGCUGCUUUGAACGACAGUUCAUGGCAUUUUCUCGAGGCCACCGUCGGUGCCUUUGACGAAGACUACCAGGUGUUUUCUCGGCGUGCACAUGCUUACCUCAUCUCGAGAGCUAGCAGGUUGGUUCCUGGAGCGGCUCAGGCAACUCACCACUACAACGAGGGCACCCACGAUGCGGAGGACUCGCCCUCUUCCAUGUCCAAGGAGCCAAUCGUCAUUGAUAUCUCCGACAAUGAGUAGUUUGUCUUAUUAGCUCACUAUAAGGACCCAUGUUCACUUUGCUAGCUAUUGCCUUUCCUUAACAAAUUCUAGUGAAUUGUGCUAUCUAUUUUUACCAUGCAAUCUUCUGCUCUAGUGUAUAUGUUUUAUAUGUCAUGCAAUGUGGUGUUCAGUUAACUGUUUGGUUCAAUUCUGCAAAUGUGAUGUUCAAUUCUUUAGGAUGCAAUUUUCCAAGUUGUCAAGCAUGCUUGGUUUGGUUAACUGUUUGAUCUUCUAUUAGGAGUAUGUUAUAUUGUACAUUAUGGUGCUCAGUUGACGUUUGGUUCAUUUGUUGUGGUGUUUAGUUAACUCCUUGGUUCAAUUCUUGAAUGCAAUGUUCAAUUAUUGUGUGUGCAUUCUGUUAUUGUAUACCAUGUGAGAAAUAAAUUGAAUUUGGCUGUUCUAAAUACAUGAGAAACAAAUACAGUUGCUAUAUUUACAAGUUGUUAAGCAUGCUUGGUUUGGUUAACUGUCUGAUCUUCUAUUAGGAGUAUGUUAUAUUAUGCAAUGUGGUGCUCAGUUAACAUUUGGUUCAUUUGUUGUGGUGUUUAGUUAACUGUUUGGUUCAAUUCUGCAAUGCGAUGUUCAAUUAUUGUGUGUGUAUUCUGUUAUUGUAUACCAUGUGAGAAAUCAAUCGAAUUUGGGUGUACUAAAUACAUGAGAAACAAAUACAAUUGAUAUAUUUCCAAGUUGUUAAGCAUGCCUGGUUUGGUUAACUAUCCGAUCUUCUAUUAGGAGUAUGUUAUAUUUGUGCAAUGUGGUGCUCGGUUAACGGUUGGUUCAUUUGUUGUGGUGUUUAGUUAACUGCUUGGUUCAAUUCAGCAAUGCGAUGUUCAAUUGUUGUGGCUGCAUUCUGUUAUUGUAUGCUAUUAUAUCUUGUCUUUUUUAUUCCUUUGCCCCAUUUCUAGUAUAGAGAAGAUAUUUAUGCACAUCCUUGUUUUCAGGCCUUUGCAAAACAGUUGACUGAUGAGUACCUCUCAAACCACCUAUAUGGACGGUCAAUCAUCCACAGGUGCUGGCCUAAAGUUGCAAAGACCUUCAACACCAAUGAAGGCUCAAUAUUCGCCUUCCGCUUCCGCAGUUUCCCGAUGAGAUGCAUUUGUCUAUGUACCGUCUAUGAUGCUAAUUUCGAAAGGUUCUAGAUGUUGCAUGUGAAACUUGGUGCUGGUGCAGUUGUGUAACAAGGUAGCUGAGUGCUGAAGUUAUAUCAUGUUGUACUCUAAUGUAUUUCAAUUAUGAAAUCAUGCUUCCUUAAUAUGGGAAUGAAAUAUAAUAUGUGUUUAAUAUGAAUGUCAAUUAGAUUAAUAAAUGGAUUAUUAAUAAUAAGGAAAUUAGCAUGCUAAUUGGUUUUUGCUAUUGCAAACGGUUAUUGAGAAAAUACCGUGGGUGAUGACCUAAGGCAACGCACACAGUUUCUAGCAAUAAACCAUGUUGGAUCGAUGAGCAAUCACACACAACAUUCUUUUCAAAACUGUUUGCGUUAGGCCACCUUGAGCAAACGUUUACCACAUAAAAGUUGUGUGUGAUGGAUAGCAUUUGCCACACAGUUUAUUAUACGCACCAUGUGUGAUGCAUUCAUGGCAAACGAUAAAAUUAUUAGUAUUGUGUGCGAUGGGAAGGCCAUCACAAACGAUUUAACGGGGGAAAUUGUGUGUGAUGUACCUACGAACGGAAACGUUUUCCUUGCAGCGACUAUGUGGGAUGUAUACACGAACGGAAACGUUUCGCGGGGACUGACCGUGUGCGAUGAAAUUACAACCGGAAAUGAUUUUGCCUAUAUAAUUGUAUUUUUAGCACUACUAUACGUAUAACCGUAUUUGCUCGCUCGCCAGUCGCACACGACCUCAAUUUGCCGAGCGUGUGUGCCAGGAGGGCAUAUCCCCGACGAUUUCUGGGUCGUAUAGGAAGGACCCCCUAUCGCCGACACUCACUAAUUGACGGUUCUGAAUGCCGUCGAGGAAAGGGGUUACAAACCAUUUGUAUAGCACCGACACGUACCAGUGUUACCUUUCCUUUCUUUGGGUGAAUUAGUGUCUGCUGGGCUAGUUGCCUGAACCUGUCGUGUCUCGUUGUUUUUAUUUCUCUAUACCGGAACCAAUAAAUCGCGAGUGGACAUGCCACCACGCGCGUUCGAAAUCCACACCGCACGCUGCCGCGCUAUGCGUGCAGCUUUAAUACCCUCUGGCCGUAUAAAGAAUUUGCCUCGUCGUAUAGCAUUCCGUAUAGCGUGUGUAUUUUCACCUGACACAUGCAGUGCAUGGACCGCGAGGCAGCGCGUGCAUUAAUCCCACACCCAGCAGCCCAACGGUAAUAAUUCAACUAUCUGGCAGCCCAUAUGCGGGCAACGUAUCUGGUGAUACCGCAACUCAAGUGAUGCAAUGCUCUGAUGGAUCAUGGGUCUUUCGAUUAAGGAAAGCGAUGAAGGCACACGUGAUGAGCAGCCUCUCCAUCGCAGAAUAUACAAAAACACUCUGAUUCAUGUUAUUAAUUAAGCAUCAGGCCCUUUUCCUAGUAGUACUGUACUAGUUUAUGAGCCUCAGUUUCACUUACGGGCAGAAAAAAGGCUUAGUUUCAUUGCCCAGACACAGAAACUUAAACCUGGUUUUCACUCAUGUCUUGCUAUUGUGCAAUCUCCAUAUGAAAUUAUGCCAUCUUCGUAUUUUGCUUUUAUACUGCUAAAAGUUCAACAAAAUAAAUCUAGUAAUGUUUUGGUUACUUUGCCCGUGAAACACUAAUAGUAGUCUGGCAUGUCUAGUCCGUAAAUUUGCAUAUAAUGUCAAUUAUGAUAAUCCACAAAGAGUACUAUUAUAAACGAACAUUUUCGCUGUUGGUCUUCACAUAUUCCAUGUGCCUUUCUAGCUUGUACAAUCUGAAACCAGUUGGACAACUGACCUAGUACAUGCUAUAUUUGCUUUCACGGAAGCUAACUGAGUUUUUUGUACAGAAUGUACAAGCAAGCAUUUCCAGCUAUCUUAAUGAGGAACUGAAUCUAAUUGAGUGAAUGUUGUGGUUAAUUAAAAUGCACAGCUUUUUUUUCUAAGUUGACACCUACAGGUUAGAAUGUGUAUAUGGUUUUUACCAGUAGAGGGUGUCACUUUUUUUCUUGUGAUAACAAGGUUACGUGCAUCAUUUCACGCAUGCUCCUGCUAAAUAAACAAUGGGCAAAAUUAAGGAAAUCCGAAAAUCCUCAUCUUCCCAUUCCCUUGGGCUUAAUUAAGUAUAGAAUCCAGAGUGCUUCUGGUAUAUUGUGCAGUGGAGGAGCUGGUCAUCACCCUUGCAUUUAUCAUGUCCCUCUGAAUAUGAUCUAGCGGUUCAAGAUUCAUUCGAGCAUUGUAGCUCCUGAGAUCCCGUAUUACUAGAUAUGUCCUCCCCACAUGCGAUGCACAUAUUAAAGACACAACAGAGGAGUGAAUACGCUCGGCUACCCCUGCGAAAUGUAAAUGCACCCAACAAUCCAUUGAUGAUCCGUCAACGCAAUGGCCUCCUAGCUGCGUCUCUCGCGACAAAAAAUUCGGAGAGAUGCUUACGGGCGUGCCACAGCUAGAAGACGACGACGACAGCGAUGGAUUUUUCCUACUUGCUAAACGCGAGAGAAGCGUGUAGUGGGUGUGUUGUGCAACCGAUGCCGCUCUCCGUCUGUGCAGAGCUUAUCUUCACACCUUGCUCUGUUCGUCCAUGGUUGACGGAAAGACGAGAUACACACUGCGAGAACCGAACUUGGGCAACAAAUCAAUUAUGUCCACCCAACGCCCAAAGCAAUUAUUGGAUCGGUUGGAUGUCGCCUGGCCCGUCUAUUCAUAGAACAUUAAAUGCAGCCCUAUCCCACACCAUGGGCGUAUAAAUUGAGGUAUUUGGGAAGCUGCUAAUUAAGCUGCCCCGUAUUCCCAGAUGGCUUAUUAAAAGUAGUCAUCACGACACACAGGCGGACGUCCUGAAUAUGGGCUGCGCGUGGCCGCAUGUCCCAAAAAUCCGCGUCGGUACCGGAACCUGCUACCUUGGCCUCACUGAUAAUAUGCCUCAUAAUAGAAACUGGAGCCGGGAUUGAUCGCCUAUUUUUCUAUAAAACGAUUAUGCUUGCAGCUUGACACUGAGUACUAUCCUUCCCAAUCACCGCCAUGACUUUUGCGCCUUUGAUCAUGUAGCAUGUAGUAAUAUGUACUCAGAAGUCAAAAGACAGAGCUGGUCCAAGUUAGCAUUAAGGACAUGUACAAUGGUUGAUAAAAUAAUUUUAUUUUAAAUUUUACAUGUAAUUUAAAAAUGACAAAAAAUGUCUACAAUGAGCCAUUUUUUAGUCUUAUUGUCAAUAACUAGCCAUUCCUAAAAAUAUGGUGAGACAUAUUGUGCUAAGAGAUCAUCUCUUGUCUUUUCUUAAAUAAAAAAAGACAAGUCUUUUCUUAUGAGUUCUCUCUUCCACUCAUCAUUUGUCCUACAUGACACUUCUAAGAUAUCAUUAUUGUACAUGCCCUAAUAAAUCUCGAGCUGCAGAUUUCCUAUUCAAGUUAGCAGCCAUGGUUUGGUCAGUGGCCUCCCUCGGUAGAACUAGAAGCAUCGAGUUCGAGAUACUGCGAGAUGCUGCGACCCAUUCCAAGCAGAGAAAGUGCGAGGAAUCGUUCUUCGCCACAAAAAGGGCAUCCACUAUCUAGUAAUUCCCCGAAGAAAAUCAAACCAAAUUGCUCUUGGACUUGAUAGGUAACAACGAAUGCGCUCGCCUAUAAAUUGAUCACCAAUUCACUCAUCCUCUCCCAUAUCUCACCCCACCCCUCCCCUCCCCUCGCUACUAUAUCUAUCCAUGGCGGCGACACCGGUCAUGCCGGCGAAGAGCGUGGACAAGCCGCUCUUCACCGAGACGUUCAAUGUCCCGGCCAGCUCCGCCGACUACGUCACCUUCAUCAACGGCGUCCGCAACAAGCUCGGUAACCCGGGCCACUUCUCCCACAACCGCCCCGUGCUGCCGCCGGUCGAGCCCAAUAUCGCGCCGAGCAGGUGGUUCCACAUCGUGCUCAAGACCUCGACGGCUAGCACUGGGCUCACGUUCGCCACCCGCGCCGACAACCUCUACUGGGAGGGCUUCAAGAGCAGCGACGACACGUGGUGGGAGCUUACCCCGGGCCUCAUCCCCGGCGCCACCUACCUCGGGUUCGGCGGCACCUACCGCGACCUCCUCGGCUACACUGACAAGCUGACCAACGUAGCUCUCGGCCGGCAGCAGAUGGCCGACAAGGUGACCGCGCUCUACGGGCGUACCAACGCCGACAAGACCUCUGGCCUGAAGCAGCAGCAGGCGAGGGUGGCGGUGACGACGCUGCUCCUCAUGGUGCACGAGGCCACGCGGUUCCAGACCGUGUCGGGGUUCGUGGCCGGCCUGCUGCACCCCAAGGCGGUGGAGAAGAAGAGCGGGAAGAUCUCCGACGAGCUAAAGGCCCAGGUGAACGGGUGGCAAGACUUAUCCGAAGAGCUGCUGAAGACGGAUGCGAAGCCCCCGCCGGGAAAGUCGCCAGCGAAGUUCACGCCGAUCGAGAAGAUGGGCGUGAGGACGGCGGAGCAGGCCGCCGCCGCGCUGGGGAUCCUGCUGUUCAUCGAGGUGCCGGGUGGGCUGACGGUGGCCCAGGGGCUGCAGCUGUUUCGUGCGCUUGGGGGAAAAUAGUUAGUUUUGCAGGUAUAUCUGCAUGAGUAUAUUGUAUGUAUAAUUCGAAUAAACAUGCUACAGAGCGUGGGACUGAUAUAAAUAAAUAAAUAAACAUGUUUCAGAAUGAGUGCAUGAUAUAAAUAAAUAAAUAAACAUGUUACAAAGUGGGUGAGUUCCUUACCUCUUUUGCUGUCUUUGCUGUUUCUCCUCUUCCUCCUGUACUCCUUACCUCUUUCCCACCUUUUCUCUUUCACUCCUUCCCUUAUAACCUUGCACCUGGGUGCAUUUCACAAGUUUGAUGUAACAUGUUACUUUCACAGGCUUUUCAGCCUCUUUUGAAAUAUAAGGUCGGCCUUGAGCCACCUUUUCUUUCAAAACAUAAAAAUAAAAUUGCUAUCUAACAUAUGUUUUUGCUUUAGUGAGUAUCCAUUGGACAAGAAUAAAAAAACAUGAUCUAGCGCGCUUAGCCCACUGGAACCCACCUUACCCUAUUAGUUAGCCCUUCCCAUAGUGUUCUCAUGCAUGGACGAGUAGAGGGUGGCGGGCGCGUCUUUAUCUUGCCUCUAUUUUAUUUUAGAAUUUAUCUUGAAUCUAGUCUUAAAAAUUUAUCUUGCCCCUAGUUAGACUUGUUUUUAGCGGUUUUCUCUAGUGAGAUGAAAGAACGACUCGUCUCAAAGGAGCUCAUACGAGCCGGGCCAGUCGAGGGUAGUUGGUUCAUUUCUAAUGUUCUUUUGGUUCCGUUUGUUACUCCUUUUCCAUUUUCGAUUUUUAUUUUUUUAUUUUUGGAAUAUUUUAAGUAUAUAUCUUUAAAAAAAUCUUUGACUUAGAAAAGUUCACCGCAUAUUAAAACGAUCACGUAAUGAGAAAACAAUCUUCGCAUAAUUUGAUAAAAACAGUUAAUAUCAUUCAAAUAAUUGUUCAACAUAUUUAUAAAAUGUGACGCGCUGCGUAAUAUGUUCAGGCUUUUUAAAAAAUGUUUAUAGAAUGUAAAAAUUUGGUACCCUAAUUUUGCAAUAAUGUUCAUACAAGUAAAAAAAAUGUGCAUAACACUUACAAAAUAUAUUGCAAAUUUGAAAUAAACUCAUCGUAUUUAUGGAAAAUGUUCAAUGUAUUAAAAAAAUGUUCACUAUGUAUUUUAAAAAGUUGAGUGUUCAUUUGACAAAUGUUCAACAUAUAUUAAUAAAAAUGUUAAAACUUUAUUCGGAAAAUGUUCAAUGUGUAUCUGAUUUUUUUCAACCUAUAUAAAAACGUUCAAUGUGCAUUUGACAAAUGUUCAAAAUGUAUUAAGUUAAAAUGUUCAACAUGUAUGAGAAAAAAAAUGUUCAAUGGCUAUCUAAAAAUUGGACAACGUGUAUACCAAAAAUGUUCAACCUGUAGUGAAAACUUGGCACGUAUUUGAAAAAAUAAAUAAAUAAGAAAAGAAAAAACAAACAGAGAGAAAGAAAAAUGAUGAAAACACACAGAAACAAAGAAGAAGAAAAAUGCGUGGAAGAUUCUAAAACCGGCCGGAAAUAGUCCAUAGAAGAUUUUCAAAAGGGAAAGAGGAAAUAAAACCGACAUAGCCUCAUUUGCUCCUGGUGGAAACUAAGAUUGAAAGAAAAAGGUUAUAUAGUUCGGAAAAAACUGAAAGUUUUCGGCAUCCAAGAUGCUUGGGCGGACUAGGAGUGUGCAAUAUUUCUAUGGUCCAUAUUUCUUUUUGCGACGAGCUCAUCAAAUGUCAUUUUGGAUUUAAACAAUGGGGUCCAAAUCAUUGGAUGUGUAUUGAAGCAAACUAACGGUUAUUUUAGCUAUGUAAUCCAGUUAACCCCCCGUUCAAUUUUCUGUACUAGUGAUGUUUGAAGUUUCAUUGUGUACUUGUCACAAUUAGGACUGCCUUGAUGUGCGAUGUGAGAGUAAAAGAAAGAGGUUACUGCAGGUAUGAAGGCACACUACUAGUGUACAUGACAGUAAUGUGACCGGGGCACGCCACUGAUAACCAAUUUCCACCCGCCACUGAUGACGAUUUCCGCGGGGAUGGUUGCCUGAACAUGUCGCAUGUCUUUGUUUUUAUUUCUCCCUACCCGAGGCAGAACCUGCUACCUUUGCUCUGCCUGAUCAUUGGCUUCAUAACAGAAAAAUAGAGCCGAGAGUGAUCCUCCUGUUUCUCUAUGAAAGAUCAUGUUUACAGCUCGACACAAGUACAAUCCUUCUGGAUUACUACUGUGACUUUUGCGCCUUUGAUAAUGUAACAUAUACUCAGAAUUCCAAAGACAGAACUGAUCCCUGCAUCACUAAAUCGAGACAUGACAUCCGCAGAUUUCUUAUUCAAGUUAGUGGUAGAAGGAUAGCGCUUAAGAUGCUGCGACCGAUUAAUUCCAAGCUGAGAAAGUGUGAUGAACUGAUCUUCGGCAUAAAUAAAGGGAUCAUCCACUAGUUAAUCCCCAGAAGAAAAACAUGCCGUCUCCAUUCCAGAACGAUAUUUCUGCGUAGCCGUGCAGUGCUGCAAAUCAAACCAAAUUGAAUCUUGGCAUCUCCUUCUUUGGACUAGCUAGCUAGGAAAGCAAGCAUAUGUAAAAGUGAAGGCGUGUAGGCGUAUACAUCUAGGUAAGGACGCGUGCAUGUUAUAUAGAUCAAUAGGGUUGCAAUUGGCGGCAGGUUAUUUAGUAGGACAGACCCCUAAACCAAGCAAUACAAAGAUAAGGAUCAGCUCCAAAAACGCCUUCGUGUAAGCAUACGCACACACAUCACGUAGUAGUAUUAGGAUUGACCUUAAGUCAAGCUAUACAAAGAUAAGGAUCAUCUCUGACAACCUGCCUUGUAUACAACACACAAGCACAGCAUCACGUACAAGUUACAUAUGACACGUACACGUAUACAAAGCCUAUCAUUUGACAGCAUGCACCUGUCGAUCGCCUAUAAAUUCAUCUCCAGUUCGUUCAUCCUCUUCCAUAUCUCAACCCCUCUCGCUUGAUAGUACGUAUCAUCUAAGCCUCGUAUCCAUGGCGGCAAAGAUGGCGAAGAACGUGGACAAGCCGCUCUUCACGGCGACGUUCAACGUCCAGGCCAGCUCUGCCGACUAUGUCACCUUCAUCAACGGCAUCCGCAACAAGCUCCGCAACCCGGGGCACUCCUCCCACAACCGCCCCGUGCUGCCGCCGAUCGAGCCCAACGUCCCGCCGAGCAGGUGGUUCCACAUCGUCCUCAAGACAUCGCCGGCAAGCACCGGGCUCACGCUCGCCACCCGCGCCGACAACCUCUACUGGGAGGGCUUCAAGAGCAGCGACGACACCUGGUGGGAGCUCACCCCCGGACUCAUCCCCGGCGCCACCCACGUUGGGUUCGCCGGCACGUAUCGUGACCUCCUCGGCGACACCGACAAGCUGACCAACGUCGCUCUCGGCCGGCAGCAGAUGGCGGACGCGGUGACCGCGCUCUACGGGCGCACCAAGGCCGACAAGACCUCCGGCCCGAAGCAGCAGCAGGCGAGGGAGGCGGUGACGACGCUGCUCCUCAUGGUGCACGAGGCCACGCGGUUCCAGACCGUGUCGGGGUUCGUGGCUGGAGUGCUGCACCCCAAGGAGAAGAAGAGCGGGAAGAUCGGCAAUGAGAUGAAGGCCCAGGUGAACGGAUGGCAGGACCUGUCCGAAGCGCUGCUGAAGACGGACGCGAAGCCCCCGCCGGGAAAGGCGCCAGCGAAGUUCACGCCGAUCGAGAAGAUGGGCGUGAGGACGGCGGAGCAGGCGGCCGCCACCCUGGGGAUCCUGCUGUUCGUCCAAGUGCCCGGUGGGAUGACGGUGGCCCAGGCGCUGGAGCUGUUUCAUAAGAGUGGGGGGAAAUAGGUAGUAGUUGUGCAGGUAUAUCUGCAUGGGUAUUGUACAAGUCGAAUAAACAUGUCACAGAGUGACUGAAUGAUAUAAAUAAAUAAAUGUCACAGAGUCAGUGAAUGAUAUGAAUAAAUAAACGUGUCUAGUUUAUAUUGGGCCCAACUAUAGAAUUGCUAUCCAACAUAUGUUUUGCAUAUGCACAUAUUAGAAGCGUGAACUAUGUUCAUCCUUUUAGACUCCCAGGGGCUCAUUUGGUUGUUGGGGUGAAAAAACCAUGGGCAGUAAACUCCCCUAGGGGAUUUCCCUGCUCAUAUGAGAUCCUCCUCCUGCCAUGUGAAAUAUCCCAUUGCCAUUUGGGCACCAAGGGAGAGUGAAGAGAGUGAAGGGAGAAGAGCAGAAGAACAGAGCGCCAAGGCGACUCAGAUCACAAGAAAAGAGACAAGGGGAGCCCGGGAGAAUUCUCCUGGAGUGCGGAGGUCGGAGCGAGCGGCCCGGGGAUUUCGGGAGGAUCGGGCCGAGAAAGCCCUUUCCACGAUGUUACCAAAUGGAUCGCCUAAAAAUCCGGGGUGUAGAUUGCAGGCGGGUUUCUCGCCCGAGGAAAGGACAGGUAUCCUGGCAGCAAUGCUACAUUCACGGACUAAUACGGGGGGGUUACGAAGUGUUUGUGACUUGUUAGAUGUUGAUUGGAUUAAGGGGGAGGAAGAGGCCCCACCCACCUGAAAAUCAGGAGGGUGAAAAAGAAUUAGAAGGAAGGGUCCGUAAUGCCCCCGUAAUGAGCCCGUGCGUUUAGCAUUUUUGGUAUCCCGGGGGAUCCAUGGUAACCAACUUGUGUACCACAAAUUCCCCUCCAGAAAAUCUACAUAUUUUAGUAUUUUUUGGCCAGAAAAUUCUCACACUUACAUACACGGUUAUAUUGUUUUUCUUUAUUUAAAAGGGAGGAAAGCCCCACAUAAUGAUGCAUGCAGCCAAUUUAUUAACCAAAAGUAUGCAAACGGAGUCUAAGGGCCAGUACUGGCUCACAAAAGGAGCACAAGAACAGUAAAGAUAAAAAGAUGCCACAGCCGGCGAAAAAACAAGUUAAGAUGACUAAACACCUAGCCUAUUAUUAGUUCGCCAUUUAAAUUGGUUGGAGAUAACCCGUGCUACCGUCUCCCAAUGGUUGCACCCAGUAACCAAAAGCCCCCUAGAGUCCGCAUGAGUGAGUAACGACCACGUACGGAUCCAAGCAGUGGCUAUGUGGAUAACCUGCAAAAGUUGAUAAAGUUUUUUCUAUUAAAGAUCAUAUCACCUUUGCAGUUUCAUAUAGCCCAAAACAGUGCACAUAUCCCUAUCCGAAUAUGUCCUGCAAUAUUUGAAUCCGCUCCAUUUAGCCAUGUCCCAAAUAACGUGUUACUAAUUGAAGGAUUAAUGUUGAAGUCUAUAUGUAUCGUACGCCAUACAAGUUUGGCUUAUAUUGUGCCAUUUCAAUAUUUUAUUUGUCGAUUUUAUGUUUAUAUACAGUUGGUAUUCAUUGAAUAGGUGGAUUUCCUGGGAGAGAAGGUGCAAAGCUUCAAGGCCAGACCCCACAAGGAGUUGAUGACUCAGUAUAGCAAUCCUGACGAGACUGGGACAGUACCCCGCCGGAGACAGGGACAACGCGGUUGUUCUAGUGCCACUGGUUCCUGCGAGGGCGAGGGUUCACAUGUUUGGGGUGCUUUUUUACAAUCCACAUGUUUGGAGGUGUUAAGGGCAUCUCCAACCACGACCCGUAAAUUUUCUCCUGCAUUCGUCUGGGACAGGGGGAAGGGGCAGUCCGUGGACAUGGAUGCAGGAGGGGGCCAUCCAACGCUGCCCGAAGACAUUUCAACCCGCAUUUCAACUAGCUGGACGAAAUUCAUGUACACCGGCUCCAGGGUGGACAGCGCUGUCAUAAAGGCCAGUGGGCGUGUCGGUGCUGGUUGCGGACGUCCGGCAAUGCCACUGUGGCGGCCCUAGACGUACAACGGCAGCAGCGGAGGUGGAGCGUGCAGAUGCAAAGCAAGGGGGACAAGGGCGCGGAGUGGAAGGAAAUGAAACCGAGAGGGUGAUUGGGUGGGCCGGGGGUGUCGGUUUCCUACAUGGCUGCUGCUGGUUUGAACUUUUUUUAUUAACUUGAACAAAAAUAUCUGUAUUUCGAAAAAUGUUAACGAAUUUGAAAAAUGUUUCUGGAUUUUAGAAACUGUUCAUUAAUUUGAAAAAAGCGAUCACAAGUUUGAAAAAAUGUUUCCUCAUUUUUGAAAAUGUUCCUGAAUUUCACAAAAUGUCCCUGCAUUUUAGAGAAUGUUCAAAAAAUUAAAAUAUGGGGCAUAUUCCUUUUAUGCUUUUACUCCUACAUUUUAUACGAAAUUGUAAAAAAUGUUAAAAAAAUAGAGAAAAGAAAAAAGGAAAGAAAAAUAAAAUGGGAAGCUUAUAGAAAAAACAUAAAAGGAAAAAAGGGUCUAUGAAGGUUCUAGUACUUUUCUAUAAACGGGGAACACACUAAAAACCUCGAACUGGGCUGGCACAAUAUAGUGCCUACAAUUGCGUGAGGGUGUGCCUUUGCUCGCUAACUGUUGACCUAUGCUGGGAUUCAGAAUUAUCGUCUUUAUCUUGCGUCUAGUGAGAUUUUUUUUCUUGAGAAUUCUCGCCCAACUUUAUUGGUGAAUCAAAAUGUUCUAGUGAGAUGGAAGAAAAACUCGUCACAAGGGAGUUCAUGGCGGCCGGCCAGUCCGGUGUUGUUGGUUUGGUUCAUUCAUUCCUUUUAUUCAUUUGGUUUCGUCUUUUUACUUUUACUUUUUUCCUUACUUAUUUUUAUUUAAUUUUGAAAAUAUUUGACUUAAUUUCAAAAAAAUCACUGUGCAUUACAAGUUAUGUAAUGUAAUGCAGUUUUUUCGCAUAAUUUGUAAAAUAAAUGUUAAUAUUAUUUAAAAGUUCAUCACAUUUAAAGAACAUUCACAUGUUUCAAAAAUAUUAUCAACCAUUUUAUUAAAUCUUCAUAAAUUAAAUGUUUGUCCAAACGAACCCCGAAAAUGUCCAAACGAACCCCGAAAAUCCCAAAAAUUGACACAACACUCCUCUUGUUCUCUGUUGAGACUAGAAAUUUUUUGAAAGCAAUAAGAGGCAGCAGAUAUUGUUUCGUCCCCUAAGGUGGGACGUUCCCUACCAAAACCAUCAGGCUUGUUGUGAGAAGCUCUGGUUUGUGAGAAGCUUAUACCCAAACCUGCCCCAAAUGGGACAAAAAAAUUACCACGGCAUGUUGAUGCCGCUCCAUGAUAGCAUGCCAAGUUUCAUGAAUUUCAUAUGAGUUUUGGAUUUACUAGAAUUUAAAAACAAGAAAUCUCAAUGUCUGCAGCCGAGUGACGGUGGCAGGGUGUUUGACAUUCGUUCCCAUUUCCUGCAUGGGACCUAAGCAUGCAACCAAGGACACAGAUUUGAAUUUUCAACCAAUUUAUAUGCAUUAAAGCAUGUGCCUAUAGUUCAAAUUUGAAUUAUGCACAUGAAUGCAUAGAAAACUCAGUUAAUGCAUAAAAAUGUCCAAACAAACCCCGAAAAUCCCAAAAAUUGACACAACACUCGUGUUGUUCUAUGUUGACACUAGAAAUUUUUUGAAAGCAAUAAGAGGCAGCGGAUACCGUUUCAUCCCCAAAGGUGGGACGUUCCCUACCGAAACCAUCAGGCUUGUUGUGAGAAGCUCUGGUUUGUGAGAUGCAUAUCUCCAAACCGGCCCCAAAUGGGACAAAAAUAUUACCACGGCAUGUUGUUGCCGCUCCAUGAUAGCAUGCCAAGUUUCAUGAAUUUCAGAUGAGUUUUGCAUUUACUAGAAUCUAAAAACUAGGUAUCUCAAAGUUUGCGGCCGAGUGACGGUGGCAGGGUGUUUGAUAUUCAUUCUCAUUUCUUGCUUGGGACCUAAUUAAGCAUGCAACCAAGGACAUAAAUUUGGAUUUCAACCAAUUUAUAUGCAUUAGAGCAUGUGCGUGUAGUUCACAUUUGAAAUAUGCACAUGAACACAUAGAAUUAGUUAAUGUAUAAAAAUGUCCAAGCGAACACCCAAAAAUCCCAAAAAUUUACACAAACACUCCUGUUGUUCUAUGUUGACACUAGGAAAAAAAGUUAAAAUCAAGAAGAGGCAAUGGAUUUCGUUUUGUCCAGAAAGGUGAAACAUUCCCUACCAAAACCAUCGGGCUUGUUGUGAGAAGCUCUGUUUUGUGAGAAGCAUAUCCCCAAACCUGCUCCAAAUGGGACAAAAAAAUUACCACGACAUGUUGAUGCCGCUCCAUGACAGCAUGCCAAGUUUCAUGAAUUUUAGACGAGCUUUGGAUUCACUAGAAUUUAAAAACCAGGUAUCUCAAUGUUUGCGGUUGACUGACGGUUGCAGGGUGUUUGACAUUUGUUCCCAUUUCUUGCAUGGGACCUAAUAAGCAUGCAACCAAGGACACAGAUUUGAAUUUCCAACUAAUUUAUAUGCAUUAGAGCAUGUGCAUGUAGUUCAAAUUUGAAUUAUGCACAUGAAUGCAUAGAAAACUCAAUUAAUGUAUAAAAAUGUCCAAGCGAACCCCCAAAAAUCCCAAAAAUUGACACAACACUCCUGUUGUUCUAUGUUGACAAUAGGAAAAAAAAUGAAAUCGAGAAGAGGCAAUGGAUAUCGUUUCAUCCAGAAAGGUGAAACGUUCCCUACCGAAACCAUCGGGCUUAUUGUGAGAAGCUCUGGUUUGUGAAAAGCAUAUCCCCAAACCUGCCCCAAAUGGGACAAAAAAUUUACCACGGCAUGUUGAUGCCGCUCCAUUACAGCAUGCCAAGUUUCAUGGAUUUCAGACGAACUUUGGAUUUACUAGAAUUUAAAAACCAGGUAUCUCAAUGUUUGCGUCCGAGUGACGGUGGUAGGGUGUUUGACAUUCGUUCCCAUUUCUUGCAUGGGACCUAAUAAGCAUGCAACCAAGGACACAUAUUUGAAUUUUCAACUAAUUUAUAUGCAUUAGAGCAUGUGCAUGUAGUUCAGAUUUGAAUUAUGCACAUGAAUGCAUAGAAAACUCAGUUAAUGUAUAAAAAUGUCCAAGCGAACCCCGAAAAAUCCCAAAAAUUGACACAACACUCCUGUUGUUCUAUGUUGAUACUAAAAAAAUUUGAAAUCGAGAAGAUGCAACGGAUAUCAUUUCGUCCAGAAAAGUGAAACGUUCCCUACCGAAACCAUCAUACUUUUUGUGAGAGAAGCUAUGGUUUGCGAGAAGCUUAUACCAUAACCUGGCCUAAAUGGGACAAUAUUUUUUUACCCCAACAUCUUGAUGUUGUUCCAUGAUAGCAUGCCAAGGUUCAUGAAUUUCAGACGAGUUUUCUAUUUACUAGAAUUACAAAAGCAAGCACCUCAACAUUUGCCGGAGACCCACGGUGCCGUGGUGUUUGAAAUUCAUCCCCAUUUCUUGAAUGGGACGUAAGCAUCAAUCCAAGGAAACAUAUAUAAUUUUACAACCCAUUUUGGUGCACCGGAGCAUGUGCAUGUGGUUUCAUUUUGAAUUGUGCACCUGAAAUACCUAGAAAACCAAGUUACCGUAUAAAAAUGUCCAAACGAACCCUGAAUAAUUCCAAAUUUUUUGACGACGCACCUAUAGUUGCAUGUUCACUACAGAUAGAAGUUCUCGCAAAUCAAACACCAUCCUUUGGAGCUGUGACCCCAUUAUGUAAUUUAAAUCAAGAUGAAAAAUCAAGUAGAUUUCACACAGUUUAUUAUCACCAACUGUGUGAGAUGCAGUACAAAAUAUCCUGGAGCACCGUCGAUGUAUAGUACACCUAUGGCUUACUCGAGAAGGUUCGUUGGCUACAUUCCACAGCCCACUCUGAAUAAGGGGCCAUGUCUGAUGACACUUUGCGCGCUAGUUUUUUCGCUGAAGCGAUUCCAAAUUUUUGGCUUACUCGAGAAGGUUCGUUGGCUACAGUCCACAGCCCGCUCUGAAUAAGGGGCCAUGUCUGAUGACACUUUGCGCGCCAGUUUUUUCGCUGAAGCGAUUCCAAAUUUUCGGCUUCCGCGGAAAUAUCUACCUCCCCGCCCCCUCCACCUUACCAAAAGCCAUAUUUCCCCUGUUUCCUCCUUCCUUUCCAAGUUGAAACCUUCACUCCUUGGUUGCAGCGCCGCCUCCUCGCCGGCGACCCUCCUUCAUGCUGCUCGGCCUCGCCUAUCCAGGCAGGUAAUCCAGACCCGAACCCCAUCCACCUCCUCCUUCCACAUCCCACAUGCCUCGACCGUCGGCGCGAGCGCGACACCUUCCACCAAAAUCACCGACCCCUCCACCAAAUAAGUGCCGUCCUAAGCCAUGGUGUAUGCAGUAUAGCCAGCAUCUCAAGGAGCAUUUGGCAGCGGACAAGCAAAUCACGACCGCACGCGCGGAUGAGGUCGUGAUGGCUGCCAUUCGUGCCAACCCCCAGAUCUUGGAGGAGCACCUCGUCGUCGAGGCCACCAUCAACGCCUCGCACACCGACGUCGUGGCGCUGCUGGCUGCUUUGAACGACAGUUCAUGGCAUUUUCUCGAGGCCACCGUCGGUGCCUUUGACGAAGACUACCAGGUGUUUUCUCAGCGUGCACGUGCUUACCUCAUCUCGAGAGCUAGCAGGUUGGUUCCCGGAGCGGCUCAGGCAACUCACCACUACAACGAGGGCACCCACGAUGCGGAGGACUCGCCCUCUUCCAUGUCCAAGGAGCCAAUCGUCAUUGAUAUCUCCGACAAUGAGUAGUUUGUCUUAUUAGCUCACUAUAAGGACCCAUGUUCACUUUGCUAGCUAUUGCCUUUCCUUAACAAAUUCUAGUGAAUUGUGCUAUCUACUUUUACCAUGCAAUCUUCUGCUCUAGUGUAUAUAUUUUAUAUGUCAUGCAAUGUGGUGUUCAGUUAACUGUUUGGUUCAAUUCUGCAAAUGUGAUGUUCAAUUCUUUAGGAUGCAAUUUUCCAAGUUGUCAAGCAUGCUUGGUUUGGUUAACUGUUUGAUCUUCUAUUAGGAGUAUGUUAUAUUGUGCAUUAUGGUGCUCAGUUGACGUUUGGUUCAUUUGUUGUGGUGUUUAGUUAACUGUUUGGUUCAAUUCUUGAAUGCAAUGUUCAAUUAUUGUGUGUGCAUUCUGUUAUUGUAUACCAUGUGAGAAAUAAAUUGAAUUUGGCUGUUCUAAAUACAUGAGAAACAAAUACAGUUGCUAUAUUUACAAGUUGUUAAGCAUGCUUGGUUUGGUUAACUGUCUGAUCUUCUAUUAGGAGUAUGUUAUAUUAUGCAAUGUGGUGCUCAGUUAACAUUUGGUUCAUUUGUUGUGGUGUUUAGUUAACUGUUUGGUUCAAUUCUGCAAUGCGAUGUUCAAUUAUUGUGUGUGCAUUCUGUUAUUGUAUACCAUGUGAGAAAUCAAUCAAAUUUGGGUGUACUAAAUACAUGAGAAACAAAUACAAUUGCUAUAUUUCCAAGUUGUUAAGCAUGCCUGGUUUGGUUAACUAUCGGAUCUUCUAUUAGGAGUAUGUUAUAUUUGUGCAAUGUGGUGCUCGGUUAACGGUUGAUUCCUUUGUUGUGGUGUUUAGUUAACUGCUUGGUUCAAUUCGGCAAUGCGAUGUUCAAUUGUUGUGGCUGCAUUCUGUUAUUGUAUGCUAUUAUAUCUUGUCUUUUUUAUUCCUUUGCCCCAUUUCUAGUAUAGAGAAGAUAUUUAUGCACAUCCUUGUUUUCAGGCCUUUCCAAAACAGUUCACUGAUGAUUACCUCUCAAACCACAUGUAUGGACGGUCAAUCAUCCACUGGCGCUGGCCUAAAGUUGCAAAGACCUUCAACACCAAUGAAGGCUCAAUAUUCGCCUUCCACUUCCGCAGUUUUCCCGAUGAGAUGCAUUUGUCUAUGUACCGUCUAUGAUGCUAAUUUCGAAAGGUUCUAGAUGUUGCAUGUGAAACUUGGUGCUGGUGCAGUUGUGUAACGGGGUAGCUGAGUGUUGAAGUUAUAUCAUGUUGUACUCUAAUGUAUUUCAAUUAUGAAAUCAUGCUUCCUUAAUAUGGGAAUGAAAUAUAAUAUGUGUUUAAUAUGAAUGUCAAUUAGAUUAAUAAAUGGAUUAUUAAUAAUAAGGAAAUUAGCCUGCUAAUUGGUUUUUGCUAUUGCAAACGGUUAUUGAGAAAAUACCGUGGGCGAUGACCUAAAGCAACGCACACAGUUUCUAGCAAUAAAUCAUGUUGGAUCGAUGAGCAAUCACACACAACAUUCUCUUCAAAACUGUUUGUGUUAGGCCACCUUGAGCAAACGUUUACCACAUAAAAGCUGUGUGUGAUGGAUAGCAUUUGCCACACAGUUUAUUAUACGCACCAUGUGUGAUGCAUUCAAGGCAAAGAUAAAAUUAUUAGUAUUGUGUGCGAUGGGAAGGCCAUCACAAACGAUUUAAGGGGGAAAUUGUGUGUGAUGUACCUACGAACGAAAACGUUUUCCUUGCAGCGACUAUGUGGGAUGUAUACACGAACGGAAACGUUUCGCGGGGACUGACCGUGUGCGAUGAAAUUACAACCGGAAAUGAUUUUGCCUGUAUAAUUGUAUUUUUUAGCAUUACUAUACGUAUAACCGUAUUUGCUCGCUCGCCAGUCGCACACGACCUCAAUUUGCCGAGCGUGUGUGCCAGGAGGGCAUAUCCCCGACGAUUUCUGGGUCGUGUGGGAAGGACCCCCCUAUCGCCCAUACUCACUAAUUGACGGUUCUGAAUGCCGUCGAGGAAAGGGGUUGCAAACAAUUUGUAUAGCACUGACACGUACCAGUGUUACCUUUCCUUUCUUUGGGUGAAUUAGUGUCUGCUGGGCUAGUUGCCUGAACCUGUCGUGUGUCGUUGUUUUUAUUUCUCUAUACCGGAACCGAUAAAUCGCGAGUGGACAUGCCACCACGCGCGUCCGAAAUCCACACCGCACGCUGCCGCGCUAUGCGUGCAGCUUUAAUACCCUCUGGCCGUAUAAAGAAUUUGCCUCGUCGUAUAGCAUUCCGUAUAGCGUGUGUAUUUUCACCUGACACAUGCAGUGCAUGGCCCGCGAGGCAGCGCGUGCAUUAAUCCCACACCCAGCAGCCCAACGGCAAUAAUUCAACUAUCUGGCAGCCCAUAUGCGGGCAACGUAUCUGGUGAUACCGCAACUCAAGUGAUGCAAUGCUCUGAUGGAUCAUGGGUCUUUCGAUUAUGUUGGAAGGGACGCGAUGAAGGCACACGUGAUGAGCAGCCUCUCCAUCGCAGAAUAUACAAAAACACUCUGAUUCAUGUUAUUAAUUAAGCAUCAUGCCCUUUUCCUAGUAGUACUGUACUAGUUUAUGAGCCUCAGUUUCACUUACGGGCAGAAAAAAGGCUUAGUUUCAUUGCCCAGACACAGAAACUUAAACCUGGUUUUCACUCAUGUCUUGCUAUUGUGCAAUCUCCAUAUGAAAUUAUGCCAUCUUCGUAUUUUGCUUUUAUACUGCUAAAAAUUCAACAAAAUAAAUCUAGUAAUGUUUUGGUUACUUUGCCCGUGAAACACUAAUAGUAGUCUGGCAUGUCUAGUCCGUAAAUUUGCAUAUAAUGUCAAUUAUGAUAAUCCACAAAGAGUACUAUUAUAAACGAACAUUUUCGCUGUUGGUCUUCACAUAUUCCAUGUGCCUUUCUAGCUUGUACAAUCUGAAACCAGUUGGACAACUGACCUAGUACAUGCUAUAUUUGCUUUCACGGAAGCUAACUGAGUUUUUUGUACAGAAUGUACAAGCAAGCAUUUCCAGCUAUCUUAAUGAGGAACUGAAUCUAAUUGAGUGAAUGUUGUGGUUAAUUAAAAUGCACAGCUUUUUUUUUUCUAAGUUGACACCUACAGGUUAGAAUGUGUAUAUGGUUUUUACCAGUAGAGGGUGUCACUUUUUUUCUUGUGAUAACAAGGUUACAUGCAUCAUUUCACGCAUGCUCCUGCUAAAUAAACAAUGGGCAAAAUUAAGGAAAUCCGAAAAUCCUCAUCUUCCCAUUCCCUUGGGCUUAAUUAAGUAUAGAAUCCAGAGUGCUUCUGGUAUAUUGUGCGGUGGAGGAGCUGGUCAUCACCCUUGCAUUUAUCAUGUCCCUCUGAAUAUGAUCUAGCGGUUCAAGAUUCAUUCGAGCAUUGUAGCUUCUGAGAUCCCGUAUUACUAGAUAUGUCCUUCCCACAUGCGAUGCACAUAUUAAAGACACAACAGAGGAGUGAAUACGCUCAGCUACCCCUGCGAAAUGUAAAUGCACCCAACAAUCCAUUGAUGAUCCGUCAAAGCAACGGCCUCCUAGCUGCGUCUCUCGCGACAAAAAAUUCGGAGAGAUGCUUACGGGCGUGCCACAGCUAGAAGACGACGACGACAGCGAUGGAUUUUUCCUACUUGCUAAACGCGAGAGAAGCGUGUAGUGGGUGUGUUGUGCAACCGAUGCCGCUCUCCGUCUGUGCAGAGCUUAUCUUCACACCUUGCUCUGUUCGUCCAUGGUUGACGGAAAGACGAGAUACGCACUGCGAGAACCGAACUUGGGCAACAAAUCAAUUAUGUCCACCCAACGCCCAAAGCAAUUAUUGAAUCGGUUGGAUGUCGCCUGGCCCGUGUAUUCAUAGAACAUUAAAUGCAGCCCUAUCCCACACCAUGGGCGUAUAAAUUGAGGUAUUUGGGAAGCUGCUAAUUAAGCUGCCCCGUAUUCCCAGAUGGCCUAUUAAAAGUAGUCAUCACGACGCACAGGCGGACGUCCUGAAUAUGGGCUGCGCGUGGCCGCAUGUCCCAAAAAUCUGCGUCGAUACCGGAACCUGCUACCUUGGCCUCACUGAUCAUAUGCUUCAUAAUAGAAACUGGAGCCGGGAUUGAUCGCCUAUUUUUCUAUAAAACGAUUAUGCUUGCAGCUUGACACGAGUACUAUCCUUCCCAAUCACCGCCAUGACUUUUGCGCCUUUGAUCAUGUAGCAUGUAGUAACAUGUACUCAGAAGUCAAAAGACAGAGCUGGUCCAAGUUAGCAUUAAGGACAUGUACAAUGGUUGAUAAAAUAAUUUUAUUUUAAAUUUUACAUGUAAUUUAAAAAUGACAAAAAAAUGUCUACAAUGAGCCAUCUUUUAGUCUUAUUUUCAAUAACUAGCCAUUCCUAAAAAUAUGGUGAGACAUAUUGUGCUAAGAGAUCAUCUCUUAUCUUUUCUUAAAUAAAAAAAGACAAGUCUUUUCUUAUGAGUUCUUUCUUCCACUCAUCAUUUGUCCUACAUGACACUUCUAAGAUAUCAUUAUUGUACAUGCCCUAAUAAAUCUCGAGCUCCAGAUUUCCUAUUCAAGUUAACAGCCAUGGUUUGGUCAGUGGCCUCCCUCGGUAGAACUAGAAGCAUCGAGUUCGAGAUACUGCGAGAUGCUGCGACCCAUUCCAAGCAGAGAAAGUGCGAGGAAUCGUUCUCCGUCACAAAAAGGGCAUCCACUAUCUAGUAAUUCCCCGAAGAAAAUCAAACCAAAUUGCUCUUGGACUUGAUAGCUAACAACGCAAUGCGCUCGCCUAUAAAUUGAUCGCCAAUUCACUCAUCCUCUCCCAUAUCUCACCCCACCCCCUCCCCUCCCCUCGCUACUAUAUCUAUCCAUGGCGGCGACACCGGUGAUGCCGGCGAAGAGCGUGGACAAGCCGCUCUUCACCGAGACGUUCAAUGUCCCGGCCAGCUCCGCCGACUACGUCACCUUCAUCAACGGCGUCCGCAACAAGCUCGGUAACCCGGGCCACUUCUCCCACAACCGCCCCGUGCUGCCGCCGGUCGAGCCCAACAUCGCGCCGAGCAGGUGGUUCCACAUCGUGCUCAAGACCUCGCCGGCUAGCACUGGGCUCACGCUCGCCACCCGCGCCGACAACCUCUACUGGGAGGGCUUCAAGAGCAGCGACGACACGUGGUGGGAGCUUACCCCGGGCCUCAUCCCCGACGCCACCUACCUCGGGUUCGGCGGCACCUACCGCGACCUCCUCGGCUACACUGACAAGCUGACCAACGUAGCUCUCGGCCGGCAGCAGAUGGCCGACGCGGUGACCGCGCUCUACGUGCGUACCAAGGCCGACAAGACCUCUGGCCCGAAGCAGCAGCAGGCGAGGGAGGCGGUGACGACGCUACUCCUCAUGGUGCACGAGGCCACGCGGUUCCAGACCGUGUCGGGGUUCGUGGCCGGCCUGCUGCACCCCAAGGCGGUGGAGAAGAAGAGCGGGAAGAUCUCCUACGAGCUAAAGGCCCAGGUGAACGGGUGGCAGGACUUAUCCGAAGAGCUGCUGAAGACGGAUGCGAAGCCCCCGCCGGGAAAGUCGCCAGCGAAGUUCACGCCGAUCGAGAAGAUGGGCGUGAGGACGGCGGAGCAGGCGGCCGCCACGCUGGGGAUCCUGCUGUUCGUCGAGGUGCCGGGUGGGUUGACGGUGGCCCAGGGGCUGCAGCUGUUUCGUGCGCGUGGGGGAAAAUAGUUAGUUUUGCAGGUAUAUCUGCAUGAGUAUAUUGUAUGUAUAAUUCGAAUAAACAUGCUACAGAGCGUGGGACUGAUAUAAAUAAAUAAAUAAACAUGUUUCAGAGUGAGUGCAUGAUAUAAAUAAAUAAAUAAACAUGUUACAAAGUGGGUGAGUUCAUGUUGUAUCCAACAAUAAAAUUGCUAUCUCCUUUUUUGCUGUCUUUGCUGUUUCUCCUCUUCCUCCUGUACUCCUUACCUCUUUCCCACCUUUUCUCUUUCACUCCUUCCCUUGUGACCUUGCACCUAGGUGCAUUUCACAAGUUUGAUGUAACAUGUUACUUUCACAGGCUUUUCAGCCUGUUUUGAAAUAUAAGGUCGGCCUUGAGCCACCUUUUCUUUCAAAACAUAAAAAUAAAAUUGCUAUCUAACAUAUGUUUUUGCUUUAGUGAGUAUCCAUUGGACAAGAAUAAAAAAACAUGAUCUAGCGCGCUUAGCCCACUGGAACCCACCUUACCCUAUUAGUUAGCCCUUCCCAUAGUGUUCUCAUGCAUGGACGAGUAGAGGGUGGCGGGCGCGUCUUUAUCUUGCCUCUAUUUUAUUUUAGAAUUUAUCUUGAAUCUAGUCUUAAAAAUUUAUCUUGCCCCUAGUUAGACUUGUUUUUAGCGGUUUUCUCUAGUGAGAUGAAAGAACGACUCGUCUCAAAGGAGCUCAUACGAGCCGGGCCAGUCGAGGGUAGUUGGUUCAUUUCUAAUGUUCUUUUGGUUCCGUUUGUUACUCCUUUUCCAUUUUCGAUUUUUAUUUUUUUAUUUUUGGAAUAUUUUAAGUAUAUAUCUUUAAAAAAAUCUUUGACUUAGAAAAGUUCACCGCAUAUUAAAACGAUCACGUAAUGAGAAAACAAUCUUCGCAUAAUUUGAUAAAAACAGUUAAUAUCAUUCAAAUAAUUGUUCAACAUAUUUAUAAAAUGUGACGCGCUGCGUAAUAUGUUCAGGCUUUUUAAAAAAUGUUUAUAGAAUGUAAAAAUUUGGUACCCUAAUUUUGCAAUAAUGUUCAUACAAGUAAAAAAAAUGUGCAUAACACUUACAAAAUAUAUUGCAAAUUUGAAAUAAACUCAUCGUAUUUAUGGAAAAUGUUCAAUGUAUUAAAAAAAUGUUCACUAUGUAUUUUAAAAAGUUGAGUGUCCAUUUGACAAAUGUUCAACAUAUAUUAAUAAAAAUGUUAAAACUUUAUUCGGAAAAUGUUCAAUGUGUAUCUGAUUUUUUUCAACCUAUAUAAAAACGUUCAAUGUGCAUUUGACAAAUGUUCAAAAUGUAUUCAGUUAAAAUGUUCAACAUGUAUGAGAAAAAAAAUGUUCAAUGGCUAUCUAAAAAUUGGACAACGUGUAAACCAAAAAUGUUCAACCUGUAGUGAAAACUUGGCACGUAUUUGAAAAAAUAAAUAAAUAAGAAAAGAAAAAACAAACAGAGAGAAAGAAAAAUGAUGAAAACACACAGAAACAAAGAAGAAGAAAAAUGCGUGGAAGAUUCUAAAACCGGCCGGAAAUAGUCCAUAGAAGAUUUUCAAAAGGGAAAGAGGAAAUAAAACCGACAUAGCCUCAUUUGCUCCUGGUGGAAACUAAGAUUGAAAGAAAAAGGUUAUAUAGUUCGGAAAAAACUGAAAGUUUUCGGCAUCCAAGAUGCUUGGGCGGACUAGGAGUGUGCAAUAUUUCUAUGGUCCAUAUUUCUUUUUGCGACGAGCUCAUCAAAUGUCAUUUUGGAUUUAAACAAUGGGGUUCAAAUCAUUGGAUGUGUAUUGAAGCAAACUAACGGUUAUUUUAGCUAUGUAAUCCAGUUAACCCCCCGUUCAAUUUUCUGUACUAGUGAUGUUUGAAGUUUCAUUGUGUACUUGUCACAAUUAGGACUGCCUUGAUGUGCGAUGUGAGAGUAAAAGAAAGAGGUUACUGCAGGUAUGAAGGCACACUACUAGUGUACAUGACAGUAAUGUGACCGGGGCACGCCACUGAUAACCAAUUUCCACCCGCCACUGAUGACGAUUUCCGCGGGGAUGGUUGCCUGAACAUGUCGCAUGUCUUUGUUUUUAUUUCUCCCUACCCGAGGCAGAACCUGCUACCUUUGCUCUGCCUGAUCAUUGGCUUCAUAACAGAAAAAUAGAGCCGAGAGUGAUCCUCCUGUUUCUCUAUGAAAGAUCAUGUUUACAGCUCGACACAAGUACAAUCCUUCUCGAUUUCUACUGUGACUUUUGCGCCUUUGAUAAUGUAACAUAUACUCAGAAUUCCAAAGACAGAACUGAUCCCUGCAUCACUAAAUCGAGACAUGACAUCCGCAGAUUUCUUAUUCAAGUUAGUGGUAGAAGGAUAGCGCUUAAGAUGCUGCGACCGAUUAAUUCCAAGCUGAGAAAGUGUGAUGAACUGAUCUUCGGCAUAAAUAAAGGGAUCAUCCACUAGUUAAUCCCCAGAAGAAAAACAUGCCGUCUCCAUUCCAGAACGAUAUUUCUGCGUAGCCGUGCAGUGCUGCAAAUCAAACCAAAUUGAAUCUUGGCAUCUCCUUCUUUGGACUAGCUAGCUAGGAAAGCAAGCAUAUGUAAAAGUGAAGGCGUGUAGGCGUAUACAUCUAGGUAAGGACGCGUGCAUGUUAUAUAGAUCAAUAGGGUUGCAAUUGGCGGCAGGUUAUUUAGUAGGACAGACCCCUAAACCAAGCAAUACAAAGAUAAGGAUCAGCUCCAAAAACGCCUUCGUGUAAGCAUACGCACACACAUCACGUAGUAGUAUUAGGAUUGACCUUAAGUCAAGCUAUACAAAGAUAAGGAUCAUCUCUGACAACCUGCCUUGUAUACAACACACAAGCACAGCAUCACGUACAAGUUACAUAUGAUACGUACACGUAUACAAAGCCUAUCAUUUGACAGCAUGCACCUGUCGAUCGCCUAUAAAUUCAUCUCCAGUUCGUUCAUCCUCUUCCAUAUCUCAACCCCUCUCGCUUGAUAGUACGUCUCAUCUAAGCCUCGUAUCCAUGGCGGCAAAGAUGGCGAAGAACGUGGACAAGCCGCUCUUCACGGCGACGUUCAACGUCCAGGCCAGCUCUGCCGACUAUGUCACCUUCAUCAACGGCAUCCGCAACAAGCUCCGCAACCCGGGGCACUCCUCCCACAACCGCCCCGUGCUGCCGCCGAUCGAGCCCAACGUCCCGCCGAGCAGGUGGUUCCACAUCGUGCUCAAGACAUCGCCGGCAAGCACCGGGCUCACGCUCGCCACCCGCGCCGACAACCUCUACUGGGAGGGCUUCAAGAGCAGCGACGGCACCUGGUGGGAGCUCACCCCCGGACUCAUCCCCGGCGCCACCCACGUUGGGUUCGGCGGCACGUAUCGCGACCUCCUCGGCGACACCGACAAGCUGACCAACGUCGCUCUCGGCCGGCAGCAGAUGGCGGACGCGGUGACCGCGCUCUACGGGCGCACCAAGGCCGACAAGACCUCCGGCCCGAAGCAGCAGCAGGCGAGGGAGGCGGUGACGACGCUGCUCCUCAUGGUGCACGAGGCCACGCGGUUCCAGACCGUGUCGGGGUUCGUGGCUGGAGUGCUGCACCCCAAGGAGAAGAAGAGCGGGAAGAUCGGCAAUGAGAUGAAGGCCCAGGUGAACGGAUGGCAGGACCUGUCCGAAGCGCUGCUGAAGACGGACGCGAAGCCCCCGCCGGGAAAGGCGCCAGCGAAGUUCACGCCGAUCGAGAAGAUGGGCGUGAGGACGGCGGAGCAGGCGGCCGCCACCCUAGGGAUCCUGCUGUUCGUCCAGGUGCCCGGUGGGAUGACGGUGGCCCAGGCGCUGGAGCUGUUUCAUAAGAGUGGGGGGAAAUAGGUAGUAGUUGUGCAGGUAUAUCUGCAUGGGUAUUGUACAAGUCGAAUAAACAUGUCACAGAGCGACUGAAUGAUAUAAAUAAAUAAAUGUCACAGAGUCAGUGAAUGAUAUGAAUAAAUAAACAUGUCUAGUUUAUAUUGGGUCCAACCAUAGAAUUGCUAUCCAACAUAUGUUUUGCAUAUGCACAUAUCAGAAGCGCGAACUAUGUUCAUCCUUUUAGACUCCCAGGGGCUCAUUUGGUCGUUGGGGUGAAAAAACCAUGGGUAGUAAACUCCCCUAGGGGAUUUCCCUGCUCAUAUGAGAUCCUCCUCCUGCCAUGUGAAAUAUCCCAUUGCCAUUUGGGCACCAAGGGAGAGUGAAGAGAGUGAAGGGAGAAGAGCAGAAGAACAGAGCGCCAAGGCGACUCAGAUCACAAGAAAAGAGACGAGGGGAGCCCGGGAGAAUUCUCCUGGAGUGCGGAGGUCGGAGCGAGCGGCCCGGGGAUUUCGGGAGGAUCGGGCCGAGAAAGCCCUUUCCACGAUGUUACCAAAUGGAUCGCCUGAAAAUCCGGGGUGUAGAUUGCAGGCGGGUCUCUCGCCCGAGGAAAGGACAGGUAUCCUGGCAGCAAUGCUACAUUCACGGACUAAUACGGGGGGUUUACGAAGUGUUUGUGACUUGUUAGAUGUUGAUUGGAUUAAGGGGGAGGAAGAGGCCCCACCCACCUGAAAAUCAGGAGGGUGAAAAAGAAUUAGAAGGAAGGGUCCGUAAUGCCCCCGUAAUGAGCCUGUGUGUUUAGCAUUUUUGGUAUCCCGGGGGAUCCAUGGUAACCAACUAGUGUACCACAAAUUCCCCUCCAGAAAAUCUACAUAUUUUAGUACUUUUUGGCCAGAAAAUUCUCACACUUACAUACACGGUUAUAUUGUUUUUCUUUAUUUAAAAGGGAGGAAAGCCCCACAUAAUGAUGCAUGCAGCCAAUUUAUUAACCAAAAGUAUGCAAACGGAGUCUAAGGGCCAGUACUGGCUCACAAAAGGAGCACAAGAACAGUAAAGAUAAAAAGAUGCCACAGCCGACGAAAAAACAAGUUAAGAUGACUAAACACCUAGCCUAUUAUUAGUUCGCCAUUUAAAUUGGUUGGAGAUAACCCGUGCUAUCGUCUCCCAAUGGUUGCACCCAGUAACCAAAAGCCCCCUAGAGUCCGCAUGGGUGAGUAACGACCACGUACGGAUCCAAGCAGUGGCUAUGUGGAUAACCUGCAAAAGUUGAUAAAGUUUUUUCCAUUAAAGAUCAUAUCACCUUUGCAGUUUCAUAUAGCCCAAAACAAUGCACAUAUCCCUAUCCGAAUAUGUCCUGCAAUAUUUGAAUCCGCUCCAUUUAGCCAUGUCCCAAAUAACGUGUUACUAAUUGAAGGAUUAAUGUUGAAGUCUAUAUGUAUCGUACGCCAUACAAGUUUGGCUUAUAUUGUGCCAUUUCAAUAUUUUAUUUGUCGAUUUUAUGUUUAUAUACAGUUGGUAUUCAUUGAAUAGGUGGAUUUCCUGGGAGAGAAGGUGCAAAGCUUCAAGGCCAGACCCCACAAGGAGUUGAUGACUCAGUAUAGCAACCCUGACGAGAUUGGGACAGUACCCCGCCGGAGACAGGGACAACGCGGUUGUUCUAGUGCCACUGGUUCCUGCGAGGGCGAGGGUUCACAUGUUUGGGGUGCUUUUUUACAAUCCACAUGUUUGGAGGUGUUAAGGGCAUCUCCAACCACGACCCAUAAAUUUUCUCCUGCAUUCGUCUGGGACAGGGGGAAGGGGCAGUCCGUGGACAUGGAUGCAGGAGGGGGCCAUCCAACGCUGCCCGAAGACAUUUCAACCUGCAUUUCAACUAGCUGGACGAAAUUCAUGUACACCGGCUCCAGGGUGGACAGCGCUGUCAUAAAGGCCAGUGGGCGUGUCGGUGCUGGUUGCGGACGUCCGGCAAUGCCACUGUGGCGGCCCUAGACGUACAACGGCAGCAGCAGAGGUGGAGCGUGCAGAUGCAAAGCAAGGGGGAGAAGGGUGCGGAGUGGAAGGAAAUGAAACCGAGAGGGUGAUUGGGUGGGCCGGGGGUGUCGGUUUCCUACAUGGCUGCUGCUGGUUUGAACUUUUUUUAUUAACUUGAACAAAAAUAUCUGUAUUUCGAAAAAUGUUGACGAAUUUGAAAAAUGUUUCUGGAUUUUAGAAACUGUUCAUUAAUUUGAAAAAAGUGAUCACAAGUUUGAAAAAAUGUUUCCUCAUUUUUGAAAAUGUUCCUGAAUUUCACAAAAUGUCCCUGCAUUUUAGAGAAUGUUCAAAAAAUUAAAAUAUGGGGCAUAUUCCUUUUAUGCUUUUACUCCUACAUUUUAUACGAAAUUGUAAAAAAUGUUAAAAAAAUAGAGAAAAGAAAAAAGGAAAGAAAAAUAAAAUGGGAAGCUUAUAGAAAAAACAUAAAAGGAAAAAAAGGGUCUAUGAAGGUUCUAGUACUUUUCUAUAAACGGGGAACACACUAAAAACCUCGAACUGGGCUGGCACAAUAUAGUGCCUACAAUUGCGUGAGGGUGUGCCUUUGCUCGCUAACUGUUGACCUAUGCUGGGAUUCAGAAUUAUCGUCUUUAUCUUGCCUCUAGUGAGAUUUUUUUUCUUGAGAAUUCUCGCCCAACUUCAUUGGUGAAUCAAAAUGUUCUAGUGAGAUGGAAGAAAAACUCGUCACAAGGGAGUUCAUGGCGGCCGGCCAGUCCGGAGUUGUUGGUUUGGUUCAUUCAUUCCUUUUAUUCAUUUGGUUUCGUCUUUUUACUUUUACUUUUUUCCUUACUUAUUUUUAUUUAUUUUUGAAAAUAUUUGACUUAAUUUCAAAAAAAUCACUGUGCAUUACAAGUUAUGGAGGUGAUGUGGAAGGUACUCGACCAUUCAUCGCCUGAAGAUGAAGGAACUCAAGUGCAAUACAGCCGCGGAGCAGGCGCUCCAUGUCAUCCUUUGGGUUGCGGACGGCAACGAGUUCGAGGUGCUUCAGUCGUAGUAGAAAAAGAGCGGGCGCGUCAUUAAGGGGAUGGCAGUUGAUGAACUUGGCGAGGCGCAGCGUGGGUGCGAAGCGGAGCACGGAUGUUGGCAGCGAGUGCAUAUGCCCAUUAUUAAAAAUGAGCUUCUCGAGCUGAUCUAUGGCGGGGGAUCGUAAUCCCUCGUCAAGCUUGGCUCGGUCCUUCCCAUUGGAACGGAACUUGCCCGUGAUAAGGUCUCUGAUUGGGCCAUGGUGACUGCCGAGGAUCGAGGAGAAUGCAUCCAAGCUUUUGCGAUAGCCAUGGCAGAGCUCGUCAGCGUCGAGGUGGUCGACAGGGGUGAGGAGCCUUAGGGGCGCCACCGCCAGGAAAGGGCGGCUGUCCUUGCCCCAUAUUUGAUUGGGGGGAGGAAUAUGAUGACUCUCAACAUAUCAUCGGGGAUGUUUUUGAUGAAGUCUAGGUCUACUGGAGUCGCUUGCGGUUCUUUCUCGACCCGCCUCCGCUUGUUGGCAGCCUCGUUCUCCACCUCGGCGGCGGCGACGGAAACCUCUAUCUCCAUAUUCACGCCAUGCUCCGGUGCACAUUGAGGACUGAGAGCGGCGUCGAGGAUGCGGGUGGAGAGAGAGGAUUGUGUGUGUGGCAAGGAUGGGGGGUGCGGCCGCUCGGGCGCGCCAUUAAUACAGACCAGUGGGAGCGAGCCGGGUGGCGGUCAAAGGUUGUCUCGCUUCCUGAUGAGCCUGCGCGGCGGACUUCUAGCAUUCUUAUACCAUCAUUUCAUAGAGCGAGGCGGACGCGCCAUUAAUAUGGAGGAGUGGGAGCAAGGUGGGCGGCGGUCAAAGGGCUGGCUCGCCUCCCAGUGAGCCUGCGUGGCGAACUACUGGCACGCCUACCGUCGUUUCACACAACUACUAGCACGCCCCAUACGGUGAGUGCGUACCAAACACGCGCAUGAAUUAGAUAGUGGUAGUGAUUUUAGUUGCAAAAAUGAGAUAGUGCUAGUGAUUUUUAGCUGCAUAUUUUGACAAAUCGCAUUGUCUCUUGGCUUAGCGCCGAAGUCUAGCUUUAAUUUGCAUACCGUAUUCAAUCUAAACCGUUUGCGUUGAAGAGAUGCACAAAUCCUGUGUUAAACAGCUCGCACGCUUCCCGGUGAGCCUCUCGGUCAGCCUACGCACCGGACUGCACUCGCACGCCUCCCAUUCAGUCAAGCAGCUGUCCGCACGGCACCUCCUAUAGCCAUUAAAACCAAGACACGUGGCAUCAUGUAAAUGCUUAAGAGAACGCACACGAUUUGAAUUAUACAAACGUUUGAGAUAUUAAAGUGGCAGCUAUUUGUUUCAAAAUGCCUUUGUUGGCUGUUAUUCGAGUGCAUCUUCUCUCAAAAUGGACACCAAAAACACCACAGCAUGUCAGUGCCAUUACAUGAUAGUAUGCCAAGUUCCAUGAAUUUCAGACGAGUUUUGGAUUUAGUAGAAUUUAGAAACAAAGUAUCUCAAUGUUUUGCCGGCAAUCAGCGGUGCCCUGGUGUUUGAAAUUCAUUUCCAUUUCUUGCAUGAGACCUAAGCAUGCACCCAAGGACACAGAUUUGAUUUUUCAACCAAUUUAUAUGCAUUGAAGCACGUGCAUGUAGUUCAAACUUGAAUUAUGCACAUAAAUGCAUCGAACACUCAAUUAAUGCAUAAAAAUGUCCAAACGAACCCCGAAAAUCUCAAAAAUUGACACAACACUCCUGUUGUUCUCUGUUGAGACUAGAAAUUUUUUGAAAGCAAUAAGAAGAAGCAGAUAUUGUUUCGUCCCCUAAGGUGAGACGUUCCCUACCGAAACCAUCAGGCUUGUUGUGAGAAGCUUAUACCCAAACCUGCCCUAAAUGGGACAAAAAAAUUACCACGGCAUGUUGAUGCCGCUCCAUGAUAGCAUGCCAAGUUUCAUGAAUUUCAUAUGAGUUUUGGAUUUACUAGAAUUUAAAAACAAGGAAUCUCAAUGUCUGCAGCCGAGUGACGGUGGUAGGGUGUUUGACAUUCGUUCCCAUUUUCUGCAUGGGACCUAAGCAUGCAACCAAGGACACAUAUUUGAAUUUUCAACCAAUUUAUAUGCAUUAGAGCAUGUGCCUAUAGUUCAAAUUUGAAUUAUGCACAUGAAUGCAUAGAAAACUCAGUUAAUGCAUAAAAAUGUCCAAACAAACCCCGAAAAUCCCAAAAAUUGACACAACACUCGUGUUGUUCUAUGUUGACACUAGAAAUUUUUUGAAAGCAAUAAGAGGCAGCGGAUACCGUUUCAUCCCCAAAGGUGGGACUUUCCCUACCGAAACCAUCAGGCUUGUUGUGAGAAGCUCUGAUUUGUGAGAAGCAUAUCUCCAAACCGGCCCCAAAUGGGACAAAAAUAUUACCACGGCAUGUUGUUGCCGCUCCAUGAUAGCAUGCCAAGUUUCAUGAAUUUCAGACGAGUUUUGCAUUUAUUAGAAUCUAAAAACUAGGUAUCUCAAAGUUUGCGGCCGAGUGACGGUGGCAGGGUGUUUGAUAUUCAUUCCCAUUUCUUGCAUGGGACCUAAUUAAGCAUGCAACCAAGGACAUAAAUUUGGAUUUUCAACCAAUUUAUAUGCAUUAGAGCAUGUGCGUGUAGUUCACAUUUGAAAUAUGCACAUGAACACAUAGAAUCAGUUAAUGUAUAAAAAUGUCCAAGCGAACACCCAAAAAUCCAAAAAAUUGACACAAACACUCCUGUUGUUCUAUGUUGACACUAGGAAAAAAGUUGAAAUCAAGAAGAGGCAAUGGAUUUCGUUUUGUCCAGAAAGGUGAAACAUUCCCUACCAAAACUAUCGGGCUUGUUGUGAGAAGCAUAUCCCCAAACCUGCCCCAAAUGGGACAAAAAAAAUUACCACGACAUGUUGAUGCCGCUCCAUGAUAGCAUGCCAAGUUUCAUGAAUUUUAGACGAGCUUUGGAUUCACUAGAAUUUAAAAACCAGGUAUCUCAAUGUUUGCGGCUGACUGACGGUGGCAGGGUGUUUGACAUUUGUUCCCAUUUCUUGCAUGGGACCUAAUAAGCAUGCAACCAAGGACACAGAUUUGAAUUUCCAACUAAUUUAUAUGCAUUAGAGCAUGUGCAUGUAGUUCAAAUUUGAAUUAUGCACAUGAAUGCAUAGAAAACUCAGUUAAUGUAUAAAAAUGUCCAAGCGAACCCCCAAAAAUCCCAAAAAUUGACACAACACUCCUGUUGUUCUAUUUUGACAAUAAGAAAAAAAAAUAAAAUCGAGAAGAGGCAAUGGAUAUCGUUUCAUCCAGAAAGGUGAAACGUUCCCUACCGAAACCAUCGGGCUUGUUGUGAGAAGCUCUGGUUUGUGAGAAGCAUAUCCCCAAACCUGCCCCAAAUGGGACAAAAAAUUUACCACAGCAUGUUGAUGCCGCUCCAUUACAGCAUGCCAAGUUUCAUGGAUUUCAGACGAACUUUGGAUUUACUAGAAUUUAAAAACCAGGUAUCUCAAUGUUUGCGUCCGAGUGACGGUGGUAGGGUGUUUGACAUUCGUUCCCAUUUCUUGCAUGGGACCUAAUAAGCAUGCAACCAAGGACACAUAUUUGAAUUUUCAACUAAUUUAUAUGCAUUAGAGCAUGUGCAUGUAGUUCAGAUUUGAAUUAUGCACAUGAAUGCAUAGAAAACUCAGUUAAUGUAUAAAAAUGUCCAAGCGAACCCUGAAAAAUCCCAAAAAUUGACACAACACUCCUGUUGUUCUAUGUUGACACUAAGAAAAAAUUUGAAAUCGAGAAGAUGCAACGGAUAUCAUUUCGUCCAGAAAGGUGAAACGUUCCCUACCGAAACCAUCAUACUUUUUGUGAGAGAAGCUAUGGUUUGCGAGAAGCUUAUACCAUAACCUGGCCUAAAUGGGACAAUAUUUUUUUACCCCAGCAUCUUGAUGUUGUUCCAUGAUAGCAUGCCAAGGUUCAUGAAUUUCAGACGAGUUUUCUAUUUACUAGAAUUACAAAAGCAAGCACCUCAACAUUUGCCGGAGACCCACGGUGCCGUGGUGUUUGAAAUUCAUCCCAUUUCUUGAAUGGGACGUAAGCAUCAACCCAAGGAAACAUAUAUCAUUUUACAACCCAUUUUGGUGCACCGGAGCAUGUGCAUGUGGUUUCAUUUUGAAUUGUGCACCUGAAAUGCCUAGAAAACCAAGUUACCGUAUAAAAAUGUCCAAACGAACCCUGAAUAAUUCCAAAUUUUUUGACGACGCACCUAUAGUUGCAUGUUCACUAUAGAUAGAAGUUCUCGCAAAUCAAACACCAUCCUUUGGAGCUGUGACCCCAUUAUGUAAUUUAAAUCAAGAUGAAAAAUCAAGUAGAUCUCACACAGUUUAUUAUCAACAACUGUGUGAGAUGCAGUACAAAAUAUCCUGGAGCACCGUCGGUGUAUAGUACACCUAUGGCUUACUCGAGAAGGUUCGUUGGCUACAGUCCACAGCCCGCUCUGAAUAAGGGGCCAUGUCUGAUGACACUUUGCGCGCCAGUUUUUUUGCUGAAGCGAUUCCAAAUUUUCGGCUUCCGCGGAAAUAUCUACCUCCCCGCCCCCUCCACCUUACCAAAAGCCACAUUUCCCCUGUUUCCUCCUUCCUUUCCAAGUUGAAACCUUCACUCCUUGGUUGCAGCGCUGCCUCCUCGCCGACGACCCUCCUUCAUGCUGCUCGGCCUCGCCUAUCCAGGCAGGUAAUCCAGACCCGAGCCCCAUCCACCUCCUCCUUCCACAUCCCACAUGCCUCGACCGCCGGCACGAGCGCGACACCUUCCACCAAAAUCACCGACCCCUCCACCAAAUAAGUGCCGUCCUAAGCCAUGGUGUAUGCAGUAUAGCUAGCAUCUCAAGGAGCAUUUGGCAGCGGACAAGCAUAUCACGACCACACGCGCGGAUGAGGUCGUGAUGGCUGCCAUUCGUGUCAACCUCCAGAUCUUGGAGGAGCACCUCGUUGUCGAGGCCACCAUCAACGCCUCGCACACCGACGUCGUGGCGCGGCUGGCUGCUUUGAACGACAGUUCAUGGCGUUUUCUCGAGGCCACUGUCGGUGCCUUUGACGAAGACUACCAGGUGUUUUCUCGGUGUGCACGUGCUUACCUCAUCUCGAGAGCUAGCAGGUUGGUUCCCGGAGCGGCUCAGGCAACUCACCACUACAACGAGGGCACCCACGAUGCGGAGGACUCGCCCUCUUCCAUGUCCAAGGAGCCAAUCGUCAUUGAUAUCUCCGACAAUGAGUAGUUUGUCUUAUUAGCUCACUAUAAGGACCCAUGUUCACUUUGCUAGCUAUUGCCUUUCCUUAACAAAUUCUAGUGAAUUGUGCUAUCUACUUUUACCAUGCAAUCUUCUGCUCUAGUGUAUAUGUUUUAUAUGUCAUGCAAUGUGGUGUUCAGUUAACUGUUUGGUUCAAUUCUGCAAAUGUGAUGUUCAAUUCUUUAGGAUGCAAUUUUCCAAGUUGUCAAGCAUGCUUGGUUUGGUUAACUAUUUGAUCUUCUAUUAGGAGUAUGUUAUAUUGUGCAUUAUGGUGCUCAGUUGACAUUUGGUUCAUUUGUUGUGGUGUUUAGUUAACUGUUUGGUUCAAUUCUUGAAUGCAAUGUUCAAUUAUUGUGUGUGCAUUCUGUUAUUGUAUACCAUGUGAGAAAUAAAUUGAAUUUGGCUGUUCUAAAUACAUGAGAAACAAAUACAGUUGCUAUAUUUACAAGUUGUUAAGCAUGCUUGGUUUGGUUAAUUGUCUGAUCUUCUAUUAGGAGUAUGUUAUAUUAUGCAAUGUGGUGCUCAGUUAACAUUUGGUUCAUUUGUUGUGGUGUUUAGUUAACUGUUUGGUUCAAUUCUGCAAUGCGAUGUUCAAUUAUUGUGUGUGCAUUCUGUUAUUGUAUACCAUGUGAGAAAUCAAUCGAAUUUGGGUGUACUAAAUACAUGAGAAACAAAUACAAUUGCUAUAUUUCCAAGUUGUUAAGCAUGCCUGGUUUGGUUAACUAUCUGAUCUUCUAUUAGGAGUAUGUUAUAUUUGUGCAAUGUGGUGCUCGGUUAACGGUUGGUUCCUUUGUUGUGGUGUUUAGUUAACUGCUUGGUUCAAUUCGGCAAUGCGAUGUUCAAUUGUUGUGGCUGCAUUCUGUUAUUGUAUGCUAUUAUACCUUGUCUUUUUUAUUCCUUUGCCCCAUUUCUAGUAUAGAGAAGAUAUUUAUGCACAUCCUUGUUUUCAGGCCUUUCCAAAACAGUUCACUGAUGAUUACCUCUCAAACCACCUGUAUGGACGGUCAAUCAUCCACAGGCGCUGGCCUAAAGUUGCAAAGACCUUCAACACCAAUGAAGGCUCAAUAUUCGCCUUCCGCUUCCGCAGUUUUCCCGAUGAGAUGCAUUUGUCUAUGUACCGUCUAUGAUGCUAAUUUCGAAAGGUUUUAGAUGUUGCAUGUGAAACUUGGUGCUGGUGCUGUUGUGUAACGGGGUAGCUGAGUGCUGAAGUUAUAUCAUGUUGUACUCUAAUGUAUUUCAAUUAUGAAAUCAUGCUUCCUUAAUAUGGGAAUGAAAUAUAAUAUGUGUUUAAUAUGAAUGUCAAUUAGAUUAAUAAAUGGAUUAUUAAUAAUAAGGAAAUUAGCCUGCUAAUUGGUUUUUGCUAUUGCAAACAGUUAUUGAGAAAAUACCGUGGGCGAUGACCUAAGGCAACGCACACAGUUUCUAGCAAUAAACCAUGUUGGAUCGAUGAGCAAUCACACACAACAUUCUCUUCAAAACUGUUUGCGUUAGGCCACCUUGAGCAAACGUUUACCACAUAAAAGCUGUUUGUGAUGGAUAGCAUUUGCCACACAGUUUAUUAUACACACCAUGUGUGAUGCAUUCAUGGCAAACGAUAAAAUUAUUAGUAUUGUGUGCGAUGGGAAGGCCAUCACAAACGAUUUAACGGGGGAAAUUGUGUGUGAUGUACCUACGAACGGAAACGUUUUCCUUGCAGCGACUAUGUGGGAUGUAUACACGACCGAAAACGUUUCGCGGGGACUGACCGUGUGCGAUGAAAUUACAACCAGAAAUGAUUUUGCCUGUAUAAUUGUAUUUUUUAGCACUACUAUACGUAUAACCGUAUUUGCUCGCUCGCCAGUCGCACACGACCUCAAAUUGCCGAGCGUGUGUGCCAGGAGGGCAUAUCCCCGACGAUUUCUGGGUCAUGUGGGAAGGACCCCCCUAUCGCCCACACUCACUAAUUGACGGUUCUGAAUGCCGUCGAGGAAAGGAGUUACAAACCAUUUGUAUAGCACCGACACGUACCAGUGUUACCUUUCCUUUCUUUGGGUGAAUUAGUGUCUGCUGGGCUAGUUGCCUGAACCUGUCGUGUGUCGUUGUUUUUAUUUCUCUAUACCGGAACCGAUAAAUCGCGAGUGGACAUGCCACCACGCGCGUCCAAAAUCCACACCGCACGCUGCAGCGGUAUGCGUGCAGCUUUAAUACCCUCUGGCCGUAUAAAGAAUUUGCCUCGUCAUAUAGCAUUCCGUAUAGCGUGUGUAUUUUCACCUGACACAUGCAGUGCAUGGCCCGCGAGGCAGCGCGUGCAUUAAUCCCACACCCAGCAGCCCAACGACAAUAAUUCAACUAUCUGGCAGCCCAUAUGCGGGCAACGUAUCUGGUGAUACCGCAACUCAAGUGAUGCAAUGCUCUGAUGGAUCAUGGGUCUUUCGAUUAUGUUGGAAGGGACGCGAUGAAGGCACACAUGAUGAGCAGCCUCUCCAUCGCAGAAUAUACAAAAACACUCUGAUUCAUGUUUUUAGUUAAGCAUCGGGCCCUUUUCCUAGUAGUACUGUACUAGUUUAUGAGCCUCAGUUUCACUUACGGGCAGAAAAAAGGCUUAGUUUCAUUGCCCAGACACAGAAACUUAAACCUGGUUUUCGCUCAUGUCUUGCUAUUGUGCAAUCCCCAUAUGAAAUUAUGCCAUCUUCGUAUUUUGCUUUUAUACUGCUAAAAGUUCAACAAAAUAAAUCUAGUAAUGUUUUGGUUACUUUGCCCGUGAAACACUAAUAGUAGUCUGGCAUGUCUAGUCCGUAAAUUUGCAUAUAAUGUCAAUUAUGAUAAUCCACAAAGAGUACUAUUAUAAACGAACAUUUUCGCUGUUGGUCUUCACAUAUUCCAUGUGCCUUUCUAGCUUGUACAAUCUGAAACCAGUUGGACAACUGACCUAGUACAUGCUAUAUUUGCUUUCACGGAAGCUAACUGAGUUUUUUGUACAGAAUGUACAAGCAAGCAUUUCCAGCUAUCUUAAUGAGGAACUGAAUCUAAUUGAGUGAAUGUUGUGGUUAAUUAAAAUGCACAGCUUUUUUUUCUAAGUUGACACCUACAGGUUAGAAUGUGUAUAUGGUUUUUACCAGUAGAGGGUGUCACUUUUUUUCUUGUGAUAACAAGGUUACAUGCAUCAUUUCACGCAUGCUCCUGCUAAAUAAACAAUGGGCAAAAUUAAGGAAAUCCGAAAAUCCUCAUCUCCCCAUUCCCUUGGGCUUAAUUAAGUAUAGAAUUCAGAGUGCUUCUGGUAUAUUGUGCGGUGGAGGAGCUGGUCAUCACCCUUGCAUUUAUCAUGUCCCUCUAAAUAUGAUCUAGCGGUUCAAGAUUCAUUCGAGCAUUGUAGCUCCUGAGAUCCCGUAUUACUAGAUAUGUCCUCCCCACAUGCGAUGCACAUAUUAAAGACACAACAGAGGAGUGAAUACGCUCAGCUACCCCUGCGAAAUGUAAAUGCACCCAACAAUCCAUUGAUGAUCCGUCAACGCAACGGCCUCCUAGCUGCGUCUCUCGCGACAAAAAAUUCGGAGAGAUGCUUACGGGCGUGCCACAGCUAGAAGACGACGACGACAGCGAUGGAUUUUUCCUACUUGCUAAACACGAGAGAAGCGUGUAGUGGGUGUGUUGUGUAACCGAUGCCGCUCUCUGUCUGUGCAGAGCUUAUCUUCACACCUUGCUCUAUUCGUCCAUGGUUGACGGAAAGACGAGAUACGCACUGCGAGAACCGAACUUGGGCAACAAAUCAAUUAUGUCCACCCAACGCCCAAAGCAAUUAUUGGAUCGGUUGGAUGUCGCCUGGCCCGUGUAUUCAUAGAACAUUAAAUGCAGCCCUAUCCCACACCAUGGGCGUAUAAAUUGAGGUAUUUGGGAAGCUGCUAAUUAAGCUGCCCCGUAUUCCCAGAUGGCCUAUUAAAAGUAGUCAUCACGACGCACAGGCGGACGUCCUGAAUAUGGGCUGCGCGUGGCCGCAUGUCCCAAAAAUCCGCGUCGGUACCGGAACCUGCUACCUUGGCCUCACUGAUCAUAUGCUUCAUAAUAGAAACUGGAGCCGGGAUUGAUCGCCUAUUUUUCUAUAAAACGAUUAUGCUUGCAGCUUGACACGAGUACUAUCCUUCCCAAUCACCGCCAUGACUUUUGCGCCUUUGAUCAUGUAGCAUGUAGUAACAUGUACUCAGAAGUCAAAAGACAGAGCUGGUCCAAGUUAGCAUUAAGGACAUGUACAAUGGUUGAUAAAAUAAUUUUAUUUUAAAUUUUACAUGUAAUUUAAAAAUGACAAACAAAAGGUCUACAAUGAGCCAUCUUUUAGUUUUAUUUUCAAUAACUAGCCAUUCCUAAAAAUAUGGUGAGACAUAUUGUGCUAAGAGAUCAUCUCUUAUCUUUUCUUAAAUAAAAAAAGACAAGUCUUUUCUUAUGAGUUCUCUCUUCCACUCAUCAUUUGUCCUACUUGACACUUCUAAGAUAUCAUUAUUGUACAUGCCCUAAUAAAUCUCGAGCUGCAGAUUUCCUAUUCAAGUUAACAGCCAUGGUUUGGUCAGUGGCCUCCCUCGGUAGAACUAGAAGCAUCGAGUUCGAGAUACUGCGAGAUGCUGCGACCCAUUCCAAGCAGAGAAAGUGCGAGGAAUCGUUCUUCGCCACAAAAAGGGCAUCCACUAUCUAGUAAUUCCCCGAAGAAAAUCAAACCAAAUUGCUCUUGGACUUGAUAGCUAACAACGCAAUGCGCUCGCCUAUAAAUUGAUCGCCAAUUCACUCAUCCUCUACCAUAUCUCACCCCACCCCCUCCCCUCCCCUCGCUACUAUAUCUAUCCAUGGCGGCGACACCGGUGAUGCCGGCGAAGAGCGUGGACAAGCCGCUCUUCACCGAGACGUUCAAUGUCCCGGCCAGCUCCGCCGACUACGCCACCUUCAUCAAUGGCGUCCGCAACAAGCUCGGUAACCCGGGCCAUUUCUCCCACAACCGCCCCGUGCUGCCGCCGGUCGAGCCCAACGUCGCGCCGAGCAGGUGGUUCCACAUCGUGCUCAAGACCUCGCCGGCUAGCACUGGGCUCACGCUCGCCACCCGCGCCGACAACCUCUACUGGGAGGGCUUCAAGAGCAGCGACGACACGUGGUGGGAGCUUACCCCGGGCCUCAUCCCCGGCGCCACCUACCUCGGGUUCGGCGGCACCUACCGCGACCUCCUCGGCUACACUGACAAGCUGACCAACGUAGCUCUCGGCCGGCAGCAGAUGGCCGACGCGGUGACCGCGCUCUACGGGCGUACCAAGGCCGACAAGACCUCUGGCCCGAAGCAGCAGCAGGCGAGGGAGGCGGUGACGACGCUGCUCCUCAUGGUGCACAAGGCCACGCGGUUCCAGACCAUGUCGGGGUUCGUGGCCGGCCUGCUGCACCCCAAGGCGGUGGAGAAGAAGAGUGGGAAGAUCUCCGACGAGCUAAAGGCCCAGGUGAACGGGUGGCAGGACUUAUCCGAAAAGCUGCUGAAGACGGAUGCGAAGCCCCCGCCGGGAAAGUCGCCAGCGAAGUUCACGCCGAUCGAGAAGAUGGGCGUGAGGACGGCGGAGCAGGCGGCCGCCACGCUGGGGAUCCUGCUGUUCGUCGAGGUGCCGGGUGCGUUGACGGUGGCCCAGGGGCUGCUGCUGUUUCGUGCGCGUGGGGGAAAAUAGUUAGUUUUGCAGGUAUAUCUGCAUGAGUAUAUUGUAUGUAUAAUUCGAAUAAACAUGCUACAGAGCGUGGGACUGAUAUAAAUAAAUAAAUAAACAUGUUUCAGAGUGAGUGCAUGAUAUAAAUAAAUAAAUAAACAUGUUACAAAGUGGGUGAGUUCAUGUUGUAUUCAACAAUAAAAUUGCUAUCUCCUUUUUUGCUGUCUUUGCUGUUUCUCCUCUUCCUCCUGUACUCCUUACCUCUUUCCCACCUUUUCUCUUUCACUCCUUCCCUUGUGACCUUGCACCUGGGUGCAUUUCACAAGUUUGAUGUAACAUGUUACUUUCACAGGCUUUUCAGCCUGUUUUGAAAUAUAAGGUUGGCCUUGAGCCACCUUUUCUUUCAAAACAUAAAAAUAAAAUUGCUAUCUAACAUAUGUUUUUGCUUUAGUGAGUAUCCAUUGGACAAGAAUAAAAAAACAUGAUCUAGUGCGCUUAGCCCACUGGAACCCACCUUACCCUAUUAGUUAGCCCUUCUCAUAGUGUUCUCAUGCAUGGACGAGUAGAGGGUGGCGGGCGCGUCUUUAUCUUGCCUCUAUUUUAUUUUAGAAUUUAUCUUGAAUCUAGUCUUAAAAAUUUAUCUUGCCCCUAGUUAGACUUGUUUUUAGCGGUUUUCUCUAGUGAGAUGAAAGAACGACUCGUCUCAAAGGAGCUCAUACGAGCCGGGCCAGUCGAGGGUAGUUGGUUCAUUUCUAAUGUUCUUUUGGUUCCGUUUGUUACUCCUUUUCCAUUUUCGAUUUUUUUUUGGAAUAUUUUAAGUAUAUAUCUUUGAAAAAAAUCUUUGACUUAGAAAAGUUCACCGCGUAUUAAAACGAUCACGUAAUGAGAAAACAAUCUUCGCAUAAUUUGAUAAAAACAGUUAAUAUCAUUCAAAUAAUUGUUCAACAUAUUUAUAAAAUGUGACGCGUUGCGUAAUAUGUUCAGGCUUUUUAAAAAAUGUUUAUAGAAUGUAAAAAUUUGGUACCCUAAUUUUGCAAUAAUGUUCAUACAAGUAAAAAAAAUGUUCAUAACACUUACAAAAUAUAUUGCAAAUUUGAAAUAAACUCAUCGUAUUUAUGGAAAAUGUUCAAUGUAUUAAAAAAAUGUUCACUAUGUAUUUUAAAAAGUUGAGUGUUCAUUUGACAAAUGUUCAACAUAUAUUAAUAAAAAUGUUAAAACUUUAUUCGGAAAAUGUUCAAUGUGUAUCUGAUUUUUUUCAACCUAUAUAAAAACGUUCAAUGUGCAUUUGACAAAUGUCCAAAAUGUAUUCAGUUAAAAUGUUCAACAUGUAUGAGAAAAAAAUGUUCAAUGGCUAUCUAAAAAUUGGACAACGUGUAUACCAAUAAUGUUCAACCUGUAGUGAAAACUUGGCACGUAUUUGAAAAAAUAAAUAAAUAAGAAAAGAAAAAACAAACAGAGAGAAAGAAAAAUGAUGAAAACACACAGAAACAAAGAAGAAGAAAAAUGCAUGGAAGAUUCUAAAACCGGCCGGAAAUAGUCCAUAGAAGAUUUUCAAAAGGGAAAGAGGAAAUAAAACCGACAUAGCCUCAUUUGCUCCUGGUGGAAACUAAGAUUGAAACAAAAAGGUUAAAUAGUUCGGAAAAAACUGAAAGUUUUCGGCAUCCAAGAUGCUUGGGCGGACUAGGAGUGUGCAAUAUUUCUAUGGUCCAUAUUUCUUUUUGCGACGAGCUCAUCGAAUGUCAUUUUGGAUUUAAACAAUGGGUCCAAAUCAUUGGAUGUGUAUUGAAGCAAACUAACGGUUAUUUUAGCUAUGUAAUCCAGUUAACCCCCCGUUCAAUUUUCUGUACUAGUGAUGUUUCAAGUUUCAUUGUGUACUUGUCACAAUUAGGACUGCCUUGAUGUGCGAUGUGAGAGUAAAAGAAAGAGGUUACUGCAGGUAUGAAGGCACACUACUAGUGUACAUGACAGUAAUGUGACCGGGGCACGCCACUGAUAACCAAUUUCCACCCGCCACUGAUGACGAUUUCCGCGGGGAUGGUUGCCUGAACAUGUCGCAUGUCUUUGUUUUUAUUUCUCCCUACCCGAGGCAGAACCUGCUACCUUUGCUCUGCCUGAUCAUUGGCUUCAUAACAGAAAAAUAGAGCCGAGAGUGAUCCUCCUGUUUCUCUAUGAAAGAUCAUGUUUACAGCUCGACACAAGUACAAUCCUUCUGGAUUACUACUGUGACUUUUGCGCCUUUGAUAAUGUAACAUAUACUCAGAAUUCCAAAGACAGAACUGAUCCCUGCAUCACUAAAUCGAGACAUGACAUCCGCAGGUUUCUUAUUCAAGUUAGUGGUAGAAGGAUAGCGCUUAAGAUGCUGCGACCGAUUAAUUCCAAGCUGAGAAAGUGUGAUGAACUGAUCUUCGGCAUAAAUAAAGGGAUCAUCCACUAGUUAAUCCCCAGAAGAAAAACAUGCCGUCUCCAUUCCAGAACGAUAUUUCUGCGUAGCCGUGCAGUGCUGCAAAUCAAACCAAAUUGAAUCUUGGCAUCUCCUUCUUUGGACUAGCUAGCUAGGAAAGCAAGCAUAUGUAAAAGUGAAGGCGUGUAGGCGUAUACAUCUAGGUAAGGACGCGUGCAUGUUAUAUAGAUCAAUAGGGUUGCAAUUGGCGGCAGGUUAUUUAGUAGGACAGACCCCUAAACCAAGCAAUACAAAGAUAAGGAUCAGCUCCAAAAACGCCUUCGUGUAAGCAUACGCACACACAUCACGUAGUAGUAUUAGCAUUGACCUUAAGUCAAGCUAUACAAAGAUAAGGAUCAUCUCUGACAACCUGCCUUGUAUACAACACACAAGCACAGCAUCACGUACAAGUUACAUAUGACACGUACACGUAUACAAAGCCUAUCAUUUGACAGCAUGCACCUGUCGAUCGCCUAUAAAUUCAUCUCCAGUUCGUUCAUCCUCUUCCAUAUCUCAACCCCUCUCGCUUGAUAGUACGUCUCAUCUAAGCCUCGUAUCCAUGGCGGCAAAGAUGGCGAAGAACGUGGACAAGCCGCUCUUCACGGCGACGUUCAACGUCCAGGCCAGCUCUGCCGACUACGUCACCUUCAUCAACGGCAUCCGCAACAAGCUCCGCAACCCGGGGCACUCCUCCCACAACCGCCCCGUGCUGCCGCCGAUCGAGCCCAACGUCCCGCCGAGCAGGUGGUUCCACAUCGUGCUCAAGACAUCGCCGGCAAGCACCGGGCUCACGCUCGCCACCCGCGCCGACAACCUCUACUGGGAGGGCUUCAAGAGCAGCGACGGCACCUGGUGGGAGCUCACCCCCGGACUCAUCCCCGGCGCCACCCACGUUGGGUUCGGCGGCACGUAUCGCGACCUCCUCGGCGACACCGACAAGCUGACCAACGUCGCUCUCGGCCGGCAGCAGAUGGCGGACGCGGUGACCGCGCUCUACGGGCGCACCAAGGCCGACAAGACCUCCGGCCCGAAGCAGCAGCAGGCGAGGGAGGCGGUGACGACACUGCUCCUCAUGGUGCACGAGGCCACGCGGUUCCAGACCGUGUCGGGGUUCGUGGCUGGAGUGCUGCACCCCAAGGAGAAGAAGAGCGGGAAGAUCGGCAAUGAGAUGAAGGCCCAGGUGAACGGAUGGCAGGACCUGUCCGAAGCGCUGCUGAAGACGGACGCGAAGCCCCCGCCGGGAAAGGCGCCAGCGAAGUUCACGCCGAUCGAGAAGAUGGGCGUGAGGACGGCGGAGCAGGCGGCCGCCACCCUGGGGAUCCUGCUGUUCGUCCAGGUGCCCGGUGGGAUGAUGGUGGCCCAGGCGCUGGAGCUGUUUCAUAAGAGUGGGGGGAAAUAGGUAGUAGUUGUGCAGGUAUAUCUGCAUGGGUAUUGUACAAGUCGAAUAAACAUGUCACAGAGUGACUGAAUGAUAUAAAUAAAUAAAUGUCACAGAGUCAGUGAAUGAUAUGAAUAAAUAAACAUGUCUAGUUUAUAUUGGGUCCAACCAUAGAAUUGCUAUCCAACAUAUGUUUUGCAUAUGCACAUAUCAGAAGCGCGAACUAUGUUCAUCCUUUUAGACUCCCAGGGGCUCAUUUGGUUGUUGGGGUGAAAAAACCAUGGGCAGUAAACUCCCCCAGGGGAUUUCCCUGGUCAUAUGAGAUCCUCCUCCUGCCAUGUGAAAUAACCCAUUGCCAUUUGGGCACCAAGGGAGAGUGAAGAGAGUGAAGGGAGAAGAGCAGAAGAACAGAGCGCCAAGGCGACUCAGAUCAUAAGAAAAGAGACGAGGGGAGCCCGGGAGAAUUCUCCUGGAGUGCGGAGGUCGGAGCGAGCGGCCCGGGGAUUUCGGGAGGAUCGGGCUGAGAAAGCCCUUUCCACGAUGUUACCAAAUGGAUCGCCUGAAAAUCCGGGGUGUAGAUUGCAGGCGGGUUUCUCGCCCGAGGAAAGGACAGGUAUCCUGGCAGCAAUGCUACAUUCACGGACUAAUACGGGGGGUUUACGAAGUGUUUGUGACUUGUUAGAUGUUGAUUGGAUUAAGGGGGAGGAAGAGGCCCCACCCACCUGAAAAUCAGAAGGGUGAAAAAGAAUUAGAAGGAAGGGUCCGUAAUGCCCCCGUAAUGAGCCUGUGCGUUUAGCAUUUUUGGUAUCCCGGGGGAUCCAUGGUAACCAACUAGUGUACCACAAAUUCCCCUCCAGAAAAUCUACAUAUUUUAGUACUUUUUGGCCAGAAAAUUCUCACACUUACAUACACGGUUAUAUUGUUUUUCUUUAUUUAAAAGGGAGGAAAGCCCCACAUAAUGAUGCAUGCAGCCAAUUUAUUAACCAAAAGUAUGCAAACGGAGUCUAAGGGCCAGUACUGGCUCACAAAAGGAGCACAAGAACAGUAAUGAUAAAAAGAUGCCACAGCCGGCGAAAAAACAAGUUAAGAUGACUAAACACCUAGCCUAUUAUUAGUUCGCCAUUUAAAUUGGUUGGAGAUAACCCGUGCUACCGUCUCCCAAUGGUUGCACCCAGUAACCAAAAGCCCCCUAGAGUCCGCAUGAGUGAGUAACGACCACGUACGGAUCCAAGCAGUGGCUAUGUGGAUAACCUGCAAAAGUUGAUAAAGUUUUUUCCAUUAAAGAUCAUAUCACCUUUGCAGUUUCAUAUAGCCCAAAACAAUGCACAUAUCCCUAUCCGAAUAUGUCCUGCAAUAUUUGAAUCCGCUCCAUUUAGCCAUGUCCCAAAUAACGUGUUACUAAUUGAAGGAUUAAUGUUGAAGUCUAUAUGUAUCGUACGCCAUACAAGUUUGGCUUAUAUUGUGCCAUUUCAAUAUUUUAUUUGUCGAUUUUAUGUUUAUAUACAGUUGGUAUUCAUUGAAUAGGUGGAUUUCCUGGGAGAGAAGGUGCAAAGCUUCAAGGCCAGACCCCACAAGGAGUUGAUGACUCAGUAUAGCAACCCUGACGAGAUUGGGACAGUACCCCGCCGGAGACAGGGACAACGCGGUUGUUCUAGUGCCACUGGUUCCUGCGAGGGCGAGGGUUCACAUGUUUGGGGUGCUUUUUUACAAUCCACAUGUUUGGAGGUGUUAAGGGCAUCUCCAACCACAACCCAUAAAAUUUCUCCUGCAUUCGUCUGGGACAGGGGGAAGGGGCAGUCCGUGGACAUGGAUGCAAGAGGGGGCCAUCCAACGCUGCCCGAAGACAUUUCAACCCGCAUUUCAACUAGCUGGACGAAAUUCAUGUACACCGGCUCCAGGGUGGACAGCGCUGUCAUAAAGGCCAGUGGGCGUGUCGGUGCUGGUUGCGGACGUCCGGCAAUGCCACUGUGGCGGCCCUAGACGUACAACGGCAGCAGCAGAGGUGGAGCGUGCAGAUGCAAAGCAAGGGGGAGAAGGGUGCGGAGUGGAAGGAAAUGAAACCGAGAGGGUGAUUGGGUGGGCCGGGGGUGUCGGUUUCCUACAUGGCUGCUGCUGGUUUGAACUUUUUUUAUUAACUUGAACAAAAAUAUCUGUAUUUCGAAAAAUGUUGACGAAUUUGAAAAAUGUUUCUGGAUUUUAGAAAUUGUUCAUUAAUUUGAAAAAAGUGAUCACAAGUUUGAAAAAAUGUUUCCUCAUUUUUGAAAAUGUUCCUGAAUUUCACAAAAUGUCCCUGCAUUUUAGAGAAUGUUCAAAAAAUUAAAAUAUGGGGCAUAUUCCUUUUAUGCUUUUACUCCUACAUUUUAUACGAAAUUGUAAAAAAUGUUAAAAAAAUAGAGAAAAGAAAAAAGGAAAGAAAAAUAAAAUGGGAAGCUUAUAGAAAAAACAUAAAAGGAAAAAAAAGGGUCUAUGAAGGUUCUAGUACUUUUCUAUAAACGGGGAACACACUAAAAACCUCGAACUGGGCUGGCACAAUAUAGUGCCUACAAUUGCGUGAGGGUGUGCCUUUGCUCGCUAACUGUUGACCUAUGCUGGGAUUCAGAAUUAUCGUCUUUAUCUUGCCUCUAGUGAGAUUUUUUUUCUUGAGAAUUCUCGCCCAACUUCAUUGGUGAAUCAAAAUGUUCUAGUGAGAUGGAAGAAAAACUCGUCACAAGGGAGUUCAUGGCGGCCGGCCAGUCCGGAGUUGUUGGUUUGGUUCAUUCAUUCCUUUUAUUCAUUUGGUUUCGUCUUUUUACUUUUACUUUUUUCCUUACUUAUUUUUAUUUAUUUUUGAAAAUAUUUGACUUAAUUUCAAAAAAAUCACUGUGCAUUACAAGUUAUGGAGGUGAUGUGGAAGGUACUCGACCAAUUCAUCGCCUGAAGAUGAAGGAACUCAAGUGCAAUAUAGCCGCGGAGCAGGCGCUCCAUGUUAUCCUUUGGGAUGCGGACGACAACGAGUUCGAGGUGCUUCAGUCGUGGUAGAAAAAGAGCGGGCGCGUCAUUAAGGGGAUGGCAGUUGGUGAACUUGGCGAGGCGCACCGUGGGUGCGAAGCGGAGCACGGAUGUUGGCAGCGAGUGCAUAUGCCCAUUAUUAAAAAUGAGCUUCUCGAGCUGAUCUAUGGCGGGGGAUCGUAAUCACUCGUCAAGCUUGGCUCGGUCCUUCCCAUUGGAACGGAACUUGCCCGUGAUAAGGUCUCUGAUUGGGCCAUGGUGACUGCCGAGGAUCGAGGAGAAUGCAUCCAAGCUUUUGCGAUAGCCAUGGCAGAGCUCGUCAGCGUCGAGGUGGUCGACAGGGGUGAGGAGCCUUAGGGGCGCCACCGCCAGGAAAGGGCGGCUGUCCUUGCCCCAUAUUUGAUUGGGGGGAGGAAUAUGAUGACUCUCAACAUAUCAUCGGGGAUGUUUUUGAUGAAGUCUAGGUCUACUGGAGUCGCUUGCGGUUCUUUCUCGACCCGCCUCCGCUUGUUGGCAGCCUCGUUCUCCACCUCGGCGGCGGCGACGGAAACCUCUAUCUCCAUAUUCACGCCAUGCUCCAGUGCACAUUGAGGACUGAGAGCGGCGUCGAGGAUGCGGGUGGAGAGAGAGGAUUGUGUGUGUGGCAAGGAUGGGGGGUGCGGCCGCUCGGGCGCGCCAUUAAUACAGACCAGUGGGAGCGAGCCGGGUGGCAGUCAAAGGUUGUCUCGCUUCCUGAUGAGCCUGCGCGGCGGACUUCUAGCAUUCCUAUACCAUCAUUUCACAGAGCGAGGCGGACGCGCCAUUAAUAUGGAGGAGUGGGAGCAAGGUGGGCGGCGGUCAAAGGGCUGGCUCGCCUCCCAGUGAGCCUGCGUGGCGAACUACUGGCACGCCUACCGUCGUUUCACACAACUACUAGCACGCCCCAUACGGUGAGUGCGUACCAAACACGCGCAUGAAUUAGAUAGUGGUAGUGAUUUUAGUUGUAAAAAUUAGAUAGUGCUAGUGAUUUUUAGCUGCAUAUUUUGACAAAUCACAUUGUCUCUUGGCUUAGCGCCGAAGUCUGGCUUUAAUUUGCAUACCAUAUUCAAUCUGAACCGUUUGUGUUGAAGAGAUGCACAAAUCCUGUGUUAAACAGCUCGCACGCUUCCCGGUGAGCCUCUCGGUCAGCCUACGCACCGGACUGCACUCGCACGCCUCCCGUUCAGUCAAGCAGCUGUCCGCACGGCACCUCCUGUAGCCAUUAAAACCAAGACAUGUGGCAUCAUGUAAAUGCUUAAGAGAACGCACACGAUUUGAAUUAUACAAACGUUUGAGAUAUUAAAGUGGCAGCUAUUUGUUUCAAAAUGCCUUUGUUGGCUGUUAUUCGAGUGCAUCUUCUCUCAAAAUGGACACCAAAAACACCACAGCAUGUCAGUGCCAUUACAUGAUAGUAUGCCAAGUUCCAUGAAUUUCAGACGAGUUUUGGAUUUAGUAGAAUUUAGAAACAAAGUAUCUCAAUGUUUUGCCGGCAAUCAACGGUGCCCUGGUGUUUGAAAUUCAUUCCCAUUUCUUCCAUGAGACCUAAGCAUGCACCCAAGGACACAGAUUUGAUUUUUCAACCAAUUUAUAUGCAUUGAAGCAUGUGCAUGUAGUUCAAACUUGAAUUAUGCACAUAAAUGCAUUGAACACUCAAUUAAUGCAUAAAAAUGUCCAAACGAACCCCGAAAAUCCCAAAAAUUGACACAACACUCCUGUUGUUCUCUGUUGAGACUAGAAAAUUUUUGAAAGCAAUAAGAGGCAGCAGAUAUUGUUUCGUCCCCUAAGGUGGGACGUUCCCUACCGAAACCAUCAGGCUUGUUGUGAGAAGCUCUGGUUUGUGAGAAGCUUAUACCCAAACCUGCCCUAAAUGGGACAAAAAAAUUACCACUGCAUGUUGAUGCCGCUCCAUGAUAGCAUGCCAAGUUUCAUGAAUUUCAUAUGAGUUUUGGAUUUACUAGAAUUUAAAAACAAGGAAUCUCAAUGUCUGCAGCCGAGUGACGGUGGCAGGGUGUUUGACAUUCGUUCCCAUUUCCUGCAUGAGACCUAAGCAUGCAACCAAGGACACAUAUUUGAAUUUUCAACCAAUUUAUAUGCGUUAGAGCAUGUGCCUAUAGUUCAAAUUUGAAUUAUGCACAUGAAUGCAUAGAAAACUCGGUUAAUGCAUAAAAAUGUCCAAACAAACCCCGAAAAUCCCAAGAAUUGACACAACACUCGUGUUGUUCUAUGUUGACACUAGAAAUUUUUUGAAAGCAAUAAGAGGCAGCGGAUACCGUUUCAUCCCCAAAGGUGGGACGUUCCCUACCGAAACCAUCAGGCUUGUUGUGAGAAGCUCUGAUUUGUGAGAAGCAUAUCUCCAAACCGGCCCCAAAUGGGACAAAAAUAUUACCACGACAUGUUGUUGCCGCUCCAUGAUAGCAUGCCAAGUUUCAUGAAUUUCAGACGAGUUUUGCAUUUACUAGAAUCUAAAAACUAGGUAUCUCAAAGUUUGCGGCCGAGUGACGGUGGCAGGGUGUUUGAUAUUCAUUCCCAUUUCUUGCAUGGGACCUAAUUAAGCAUGCAACCAAGGACAUAAAUUUGGAUUUUCAACCAAUUUAUAUGCAUUAGAGCAUGUGCGUGUAGUUCACAUUUGAAAUAUGCACAUGAACACAUAGAAUCAGUUAAUGUAUAAAAAUGUCCAUGCGAACACCCAAAAAUCCCAAAAAUUGACACAAACACUCCUGUUGUUCUAUGUUGACACUAGGAAAAAAAGUUGAAAUCAAGAAGAGGCAAUGGAUUUCGUUUUGUCCAGAAAGGUGAAACAUUCCCUACCAAAACCAUCGGGCUUGUUGUGAGAAGCAUAUCUCUAAACCUGCCCCAAAUGGGACAAAAAAAUUACCACAACAUGUUGAUGCCGCUCCAUGACAGCAUGCCAAGUUUCAUGAAUUUUAGACGAGCUUUGGAUUCACUAAAAUUUAAAAACCAGGUAUCUCAAUGUUUGCGACUGACUGACGGUGGCAGGGUGUUUGACAUUUGUUCCCAUUUCUUGCAUGGGACCUAAUAAGCAUGCAACCAAGGACACAGAUUUGAAUUUCCAACUAAUUUAUAUGCAUUAGAGCAUGUGCAUGUAGUUCAAAUUUGAAUUAUGCACAUGAAUGCAUAGAAAACUCAGUUAAUGUAUAAAAAUGUCCAAGCGAACCCCCAAAAAUCCCAAAAAUUGACACAACACUCCUGUUGUUCUAUGUUGACAAUAGGAAAAAAAAUAAAAUUGAGAAGAGGCAAUGGAUAUCGUUUCAUCCAGAAAGGUGAAACGUUCCCUACCGAAACCAUCGGGCUUGUUGUGAGAAGCUCUGGUUUGUGAGAAGCAUAUCCCCAAACCUGCCCCAAAUGGGAUAAAAAAUUUACCACGGCAUGUUGAUGCCGCUCCAUUACAGCAUGCCAAGUUUCAUGGAUUUUAGACGAACUUUGGAUUUACUAGAAUUUAAAAAACCAGGUAUCUCAAUGUUUGCGUCCGAGUGACGGUGGUAGGGUGUUUGACAUUCGUUCCCAUUUCUUGCAUGGGACCUAAUAAGCAUGCAACCAAGGACACAUAUUUGAAUUUUCAACUAAUUUAUAUGCAUUAGAGCAUGUGCAUGUAGUUCAGAUUUGAAUUAUGCACAUGAAUGCAUAGAAAACUCAGUUAAUGUAUAAAAAUGUCCAAGCGAACCCCGAAAAAUUCCAAAAAUUGACACAACACUCCUGUUGUUCUAUGUUGACACUAAGAAAAAAAUUUGAAAUCAAGAAGAUGCAACGGAUAUCAUUUCGUCCAGAAAGGUGAAACGUUCCCUACCGAAACCAUCAUACUUUUUGUGAGAGAAGCUAUGGUUUGCGAGAAGCUUAUACCAUAACCUGGCCUAAAUGGGACAAUAUUUUUUUACCCCAGCAUCUUGAUGUUGUUCCAUGAUAGCAUGCCAAGGUUCAUGAAUUUCAGACGAGUUUUCUAUUUACUAGAAUUACAAAAGCAAGCACCUCAACAUUUGCCGGAGACCCACGGUGCCGUGGUGUUUGAAAUUCAUCCCCAUUUCUUGAAUGGGACGUAAGCAUCAACCCAAGGAAACAUAUAUCAUUUUCCAACUCAUUUUGGUGCACCGGAGCAUGUGCAUGUGGUUUCAUUUUGAAUUGUGCACCUGAAAUGCCUAGAAAACCAAGUUACCGUAUAAAAAUGUCCAAACGAACCCUGAAUAAUUCCAAAUUUUUUGACGACGCACCUAUAGUUGCAUGUUCACUACAGAUAGAAGUUCUCGCAAAUCAAACACCAUCCUUUGGAGCUGUGACCCCAUUAUGUAAUUUAAAUCAAGAUGAAAAAAUCAAGAAGAUCUCACACAGUUUAUUAUCACCAACUGUGUGAGAUGCAGUACAAAAUAUCCUGGAGCACCGUUGGUGUAUAGUACACCUAUGGCUUACUCGAGAAGGUUCGUUGGCUACAGUCCACAGCCCGCUCUGAAUAAGGGGCCAUGUCUGAUGACACUUUGCGCGCCAGUUUUUUCGCUGAAGCGAUUCCAAAUUUUCGGCUUCCGCGGAAAUAUCUACCUCCCCGCCCCCUCCACCUUACCAAAAGCCAUAUUUCCCCUAUUUCCUCCUUCCUUUCGAAGUUGAAACAUUCACUCCUUAGUUGCAGCGCCGCCUCCUCGCCGACGACCCUCCUUCAUGCUGCUCGGCCUCGCCUAUCCAGGCAGGUAAUCCAGACCCGAACCCCAUCCACCUCCUCCUUCCACAUCCCACAUGCCUCGACCGUCGGCGCGAGCGCGACACCUUCCACCAAAAUCACCGACCCCUCCACCAAAUAAGUGUCGUCCUAAGCCAUGGUGUAUGCAGUAUAGCCAGCAUCUCAAGGAGCAUUUGGCAGCGGACAAGCAAAGCACGACCGCACGCGCGGAUGAGGUCGUGAUGGCUGCCAUUCGUGCCAACCCCCAGAUCUUGGAGGAGCACCUCGUCGUCAAGGCCACCAUCAACGCCUCGCACACCGACGUCGUGGCGCGGCUGGCUGCUUUGAACGACAGUUCAUGGCGUUUUCUCGAGGCCACCGUCGGUGCCUUUGACGAAGACUACCAGGUGUUUUCUCGGCGUGCACGUGCUUACCUCAUCUCGAGAGCUAGCAGGUUGGUUCCCGGAGCGGCUCAGGCAACUCACCACUACAACGAGGGCACCCACGAUGCGGAGGACUCGCCCUCUUCCAUGUCCAAGGAGCCAAUCGUCAUUGAUAUCUCCGACAAUGAGUAGUUUGUCUUAUUAGCUCACUAUAAGGACCCAUGUUCACUUUGCUAGCUAUUGCCUUUCCUUAACAAAUUCUAGUGAAUUGUGCUAUCUAUUUUUACCAUGCAAUCUUCUGCUCUAGUGUAUAUGUUUUAUAUGUCAUGCAAUGUGGUGUCCAGUUAACUGUUUGGUUCAAUUCUGCAAAUGUGAUGUUCAAUUCUUUAGGAUGCAAUUUUCCAAGUUGUCAAGCAUGCUUGGUUUGGUUAACUAUUUGAUCUUCUAUUAGGAGUAUGUUAUAUUGUGCAUUAUGGUGCUCAGUUGACGUUUGGUUCAUUUGUUGUGGUGUUUAGUUAACUGUUUGGUUCAAUUCUUGAAUGCAAUGUUCAAUUAUUAUGUGUGCAUUCUGUUAUUGUAUACCAUGUGAGAAAUAAAUUGAAUUUGGCUGUUCUAAAUACAUGGGAAACAAAUACAGUUGCUAUAUUUACAAGUUGUUAAGCAUGCUUGGUUUGGUUAACUGUUUGAUCUUCUAUUAGGAGUAUGUUAUAUUAUGCAAUGUGGUGCUCAGUUAACAUUUGGUUCAUUUGUUGUGGUGUUUAGUUAACUGUUUGAUUCAAUUCUGCAAUGCGAUGUUCAAUUAUUGUGUGUGCAUUCUGUUAUUGUAUACCAUGUGAGAAAUCAAUCAAAUUUGGGUGUACUAAAUACAUGAGAAACAAAUACAAUUGCUAUAUUUCCAAGUUGUUAAGCAUGCCUGGUUUGGUUAACUAUCCGAUCUUCUAUUAGGAGUAUGUUAUAUUUGUGCAAUGUGGUGCUCGGUUAACGGUUGGUUCCUUUGUUGUGGUGUUUAGUUAACUGCUUGGUUUAAUUCGGCAAUGCGAUGUUCAAUUGUUGUGGCUGCAUUCUGUUAUUGUAUGCUAUUAUAUCUUGUCUUUUUUAUUCCUUUGCCCCAUUUCUAGUAUAGAGAAGAUAUUUAUGUACAUCCUUGUUUUCAGGCCUUUCCAAAACAGUUCACUGAUGAUUACCUCUCAAACCACCUGUAUGGACGGUCAAUCAUCCACAGGCGCUGGCCUAAAGUUGCAAAGACCUUCAACACCAAUGAAGGCUCAAUAUUCGCCUUCCGCUUCCGCAGUUUUCCCGAUGAGAUGCAUUUGUCUAUGUACCGUCUAUGAUGCUAAUUUUGAAAGGUUCUAGAUGUUGCAUGUGAAACUUGGUGCUGGUGCUGUUGUGUAACGGGGUAGCUGAGUGCUGAAGUUAUAUCAUGUUGUACUCUAAUGUAUUUCAAUUAUGAAAUCAUGCUUCCUUAAUAUGGGAAUGAAAUAUAAUAUGUGUUUAAUAUGAAUGUCAAUUAGAUUAAUAAAUGGAUUAUUAAUAAUAAGGAAAUUAGCCUGCUAAUUGGUUUUUGCUAUUGCAAACAGUUAUUGAGAAAAUACCGUGGGCGAUGACCUAAGGCAACGCACACAGUUUCUAGCAAUAAACCAUGUUGGAUCGAUGAGCAAUCACACACAACAUUCUCUUCAAAACUGUUUGCGUUAGGCCACCUUGAGCAAACGUUUACCACAUAAAAGCUGUUUGUGAUGGAUAGCAUUUGCCACACAGUUUAUUAUACGCACCAUGUGUGAUGCAUUCAUGGCAAACGAUAAAAUUAUUAGUAUUGUGUGCGAUGGGAAGGCCAUCACAAACGAUUUAACGGGGGAAAUUGUGUGUGAUGUACCUACGAACGGAAACGUUUUCCUUGCAGCGACUAUGUGGGAUAUAUACACGAACGAAAACGUUUCGCGGGGACUGACCGUGUGCGAUGAAAUUACAACCGGAAAUGAUUUUGCCUGUAUAAUUGUAUUUUUAGAACUACUAUACGUAUAACCGUAUUUGCUCGCUCGCCAAUCGCACACGACCUCAAUUUGCCGAGCGUGUGUGCCAGGAGGGCAUAUCCCCGACGAUUUCUGGGUCGUGUGGGAAGGACCCCCCUAUCGCCCACACUCACUAAUUGACGGUUCUGAAUGCCGUCGAGGAAAGGGGUUACAAACCAUUUGUAUAGCACCGACACGUACCAGUGUUACCUUUCCUUUCUUUGGGUGAAUUAGUGUCUGUUGGGCUAGUUGCCUGAACCUGUCGUGUGUCGUUGUUUUUAUUUCUCUAUACCGGAACCGAUAAAUCGCGAGUGGACAUGCCACCACGCGCGUCCAAAAUCCACACCGCACGCUGCAGCGGUAUGCGUGUAGCUUUAAUACCCUCUGGCCGUAUAAAGAAUUUGCCUCGUCGUAUAGCAUUCCGUAUAGCGUGUGUAUUUUCACCUGACACAUGCAGUGCAUGGCCCGCGAGGCAGCGCGUGCAUUAAUCCCACACCCAGCAGCCCAACGACAAUAAUUCAACUAUCUGGCAGCCCAUAUGCGGGCAACGUAUCUGGUGAUACCGCAACUCAAGUGAUGCAAUGCUCUGAUGGAUCAUGGGUCUUUCGAUUAUGUUGGAAGGGACGCGAUGAAGGCACACGUGAUGAGCAGCCUCUCCAUCGCAGAAUAUACAAAAACACUCUGAUUCAUGUUAUUAAUUAAGCAUCAGGCCCUUUUCCUAGUAGUACUGUACUUGUUUAUGAGCCUCAGUUUCACUUACGGGUAGAAAAAAGGCUUAGUUUCAUUGCCCAGACACAAAAACUUAAACCUGGUUUUCGCUCAUGUCUUGCUAUUGUGCAAUCCCCAUAUGAAAUUAUGCCAUCUUCGUAUUUUGCUUUUAUACUGCUAAAAGUUCAACAAAAUAAAUCUAGUAAUGUUUUGGUUACUUUGCCCGUGAAACACUAAUAGUAGUCUGGCAUGUCUAGUCCGUAAAUUUGCACAUAAUGUCAAUUAUGAUAAUCCACAAAGAGUACUAUUAUAAACGAACAUUUUCGCUGUUGGUCUUCACAUAUUCCAUGUGCCUUUCUAGCUUGUACAAUCUGAAACCAGUUGGACAACUGACCUAGUACAUGCUAUAUUUGCUGUCACGGAAGCUAACUGAGUUUUUUGUACAGAAUGUACAAGCAAGCAUUUCCAGCUAUCUUAAUGAGGAACUGAAUCUAAUUGAGUGAAUGUUGUGGUUAAUUAAAAUGCACAGCUUUUUUUCUAAGUUGACACCUACAGGUUAGAAUGUGUAUAUGGUUUUUACCAGUAGAGGGUGUCACUUUUUUUCUUGUGAUAACAAGGUUACGUGCAUCAUUUCACGCAUGCUCCUGCUAAAUAAACAAUGGGCAAAAUUAAGGAAAUCCGAAAAUCCUCAUCUUCCCAUUCCCUUGGGCUUAAUUAAGUAUAGAAUCCAGAGUGCUUUUGGUAUAUUGUGCGGUGGAGGAGCUGGUCAUCACCCUUGCAUUUAUCAUGUCCCUCUGAAUAUGAUCUAGCGGUUCAAGAUUCAUUCGAGCAUUGUAGCUCCUGAGAUCCCGUAUUACUAGAUAUGUCCUCCCCACAUGCGAUGCACAUAUUAAAGACACAACAGAGGAGUGAAUACGCUCGGCUACCCCUGCGAAAUGUAAAUGCACCCAACAAUCCAUUGAUGAUCCGUCAACGCAACGGCCUCCUAGCUGCGUCUCUCGCGACAAAAAAUUCGGAGAGAUGCUUACGGGCGUGCCACAGCUAGAAGACGACGACGACAGCGAUGGAUUUUUCCUACUUGCUAAACGCGAGAGAAGCGUGUAGUGGGUGUGUUGUGCAACCGAUGCCGCUCUCCGUCUGUGCAGAGCUUAUCUUCACACCUUGCUCUGUUCGUCCAUGGUUGAAGGAAAGACGAGAUACGCACUGCGAGAACCGAACUUGGGCAACAAAUCAAUUAUGUCCACCCAACGCCCAAAGCAAUUAUUGGAUCGGUUGGAUGUCGCCUGGCCCGUGUAUUCAUAGAACAUUAAAUGCAGCCCUAUCCCACACCGUGGGCGUAUAAAUUGAGCUAUUUGGGAAGCUGCUAAUUAAGCUGCCCCGUAUUCCCAGAUGGCUUAUUAAAAGUAGUCAUCACGACGCACAGGCGGACGUCCUGAAUAUGGGCUGCGCGUGGCCGCAUGUCCCAAAAAUCCGCGUCGGUACCGGAACCUGCUACCUUGGCCUCACUGAUAAUAUGCCUCAUAAUAGAAACUGGAGCCGGGAUUGAUCGCCUAUUUUUCUAUAAAACGAUUAUGCUUGCAGCUUGACACUGAGUACUAUCCUUCCCAAUCACCGCCAUGACUUUUGUGCCUUUGAUCAUGUAGCAUGUAGUAACAUGUACUCAGAAGUCAAAAGACAGAGCUGGUCCAAGUUAGCAUUAAGGACAUGUACAAUGAUUGAUAAAAUAAUUUUAUUUUAAAUUUUACAUGUAAUUUAAAAAUGACAAAAAAAUGUCUACAAUGAGCCAUCUUUUAGUCUUAUUCUCAAUAACUAGCCAUUCCUAAAAAUAUGGUGAGACAUAUUGUGCUAAGAGAUCAUCUCUUGUCUUUUCUUAAAUAAAAAAAGACAAGUCUUUUCUUAUGAGUUCUCUCUUCCACUCAUCAUUUGUCCUACAUGACACUUCUAAGAUAUCAUUAUUGUACAUGCCCUAAUAAAUCUCGAGCUGCAGAUUUCCUAUUCAAGUUAACAGCCAUGGUUUGGUCAGUGGCCUCCCUCGGUAGAACUAGAAGCAUCGAGUUCGAGAUACUGCGAGAUGCUGCGACCCAUUCCAAGCAGAGAAAGUGCGAGGAAUCGUUCUUCGCCACAAAAAGGGCAUCCACUAUCUAGUAAUUCCCCGAAGAAAAUCAAACCAAAUUGCUCUUGGACUUGAUAGCUAACAACGCAUGCGCUCGCCUAUAAAUUGAUCGCCAAUUCACUCAUCCUCUCCCAUAUCUCACCCCACCCCCUCCCCUCCCCUCGCUACUAUAUCUAUCCAUGGCGGCGACACCGGUGAUGCCGGCGAAGAGCGUGGACAAGCCGCUCUUCACCGAGACGUUCAAUGUCCCGGCCAGCUCCGCCGACUACGUCACCUUCAUCAACGGCGUCCGCAACAAGCUCGGUAACCCGGGCCACUUCUCCCACAACCGCCCCGUGCUGCCGCCGGUCGAGCCCAACGUCGCGCCGAGCAGGUGGUUCCACAUCGUGCUCAAGACCUCGCCGGCUAGCACUGGGCUCACGCUCGCCACCCGCGCCGACAACCUCUACUGGGAGGGCUUCAAGAGCAGCGACGACACGUGGUGGGAGCUUACCCCGGGCCUCAUCCCCGGCGCCACCUACCUCGGGUUCGGCGGCACCUACCGCGACCUCCUCGGCUACACUGACAAGCUGACCAACGUAGCUCUCGGCCGGCAGCAGAUGGCCGACGCGGUGACCGCGCUCUACGGGCAUACCAAGGCCGACAAGACCUCUGGCCCGAAGCAGCAGCAGGCGAGGGAGGCGGUGACGACGCUGCUCCUCAUGGUGCACGAGGCCACGCGGUUCCAGACCGUGUCGGGGUUCGUGGCCGGC